Molecule: long non-coding RNA, 53137 nt
Filed under: Fragaria vesca (wild strawberry)
Lineage: Eukaryota; Viridiplantae; Streptophyta; Magnoliopsida; Rosales; Rosaceae
Description: long non-coding RNA (FVES_LNC002777)
Source: RNAcentral
AAACUAUUGAUACUUCCUCUGUUACUAUACUACUGUUCUAACCUAAAAUCAGAAAUCUGCUACUGCUAUGCUACGAUUAUGAUUUUCAACCAAAAAGUAGUUCAAAAUUCAAAACGAACCAAAAUUAAACAAUAACUAGACGAAUUCCACAAGAGAUCAAAUAAACUAGAUGAUCAAAACAAAACACAAGCAUCAAAUUGCGAUCAAACAUGAAAUUAAAGCAUAAAAUGACACGAAUAAGCCAGAAUCUAACCUGAAAAUUCGAUUAUCUAGGAGAAGAAUAGAUCGUUUCAACGAACCAGAAGAAAACUGAUGGUGAUGAAGAGAGAUGAUGAUUAGACAAAACGACUGAAUUCCAUAACUGAUCGACGCUUGAUCGGACUCUCUGCUAAGCUUUCCGCAAAACGACAAAAUUCCUUCGACGAAUGUCUCCGGCGACACUAUUCGUCACAAAGAAGAGAGAAAACGAGAGACGGUCGAUCACGUUAGGGUUGGGAACUGUGAUUUUUGAUUUUUUCGGCUAUUUUUAUGGUUGGGGAAGAAGGGUAUUUGGGUAAAAUAGGUAAUGACAAAUGAUAUGAUGACAUUAGUUUGUCCUAAUUUGUUAAUAUUUGUCCUUAAAUGAGUAAGAUAUUGUGUAAAUGAUGUAUUUGCAAGUUGAAAUUUGAUUAGUAACUAAUAUGUAGUUUACUAAUUUAUAUAUUUCUUUUCUAAACAAAAGGUUGGUGCGGUUGCUCUUAAAGUUUCAUUAAUGAAACUGUUGAAAAGAAAUAGAGGACAUGAAACCUGAACCCCUUAUUACAAUAAAUAUAUAGAAGAAAUCUUGUAUCGAGAAUCUCUAUAAAAUACAUGGAUUUUAACAAACACCAAUUAACAAAGAGUGUUACUGUAAUGACGACUUAAUUUGUUUUGUCACAAAGAUGACAUGAUGAAAGUAUCACUAGAUACGUAACACAAUUACAUAUAUUAAUGUCCUACUAUAAACAAUGUUAGGUGAACCAUAUUUUGGUGAUAUACUAAUUUACUAUAUAUUUACUGUUUGAUUACUAUUCAGGGUGUUCCUCUACAGUAAAAAAAAACAGUGUAUUUCCAGGUUUUACCCUCAUUGUUGGGCAGUGAAAUUCCAGUAAUGCCCUCUCCUGUUUUAUAUUUAUCGGCCUAGCUGCUUCUUUCUUUCUCUCAAAAGUUCACUUUUCUCUUCUGGGUUCUCUCUCUCUCUCUNNNNNNNNNNNNNNNNNNNNUCUCUCUCUCUCUCUCUCUCUCUCUCUCUCUCUCUCUCUCUCUCUCUCUCUCUCUCUCUCUCUCUCUCUCUCUCUCUCUCUCUCUCUCAGUUCCAUAUAGAAACAAUGUGGCUUCCUGUUUUGCUAAAAUUCAGGUUUCUUUUUUAAUGAUUUCUUCUGGGUGUGUUUGAUCGAUUGCGAAAAAUUUUCUUUUUCUGAUCGGACUGCUAUUGGAUGUCUUUAGAUUCAAAACUAUAUCAAAAAAUCUGGGUUCGACUGGUUUUUGUUCUCAGAAGGGAGAGUUUAAUGAAGGCGAAGAAAGGUACUGCUUCGUCUUGCUUUGGGUAAUUGGUUUUCAAUUCUUCUCUUGCUUGCAUGGGCGUACACAAGAUAUCCCUUUUGUCUAUACAAUGAAAAUUUGUCAAUCAAGGUGUACUAUUGAAAAAGAGGUUACUAUCAACUGAAUAUUAGUUUACAUGUAGAGUCGUUCACAUCGAUGUUAAACUUAUCAUGGUUUCCUUCAUUUGGUUGUUCCAAUUUGAGUUGUAUCUACAGAUGAUUGAAUCUCUUAUUUUUCUCAGGCCGGGACCUGAGAUUUUUAGACCUGAGUCGAACUCUCAACAUUAGGCCCCUAAAUUGUAGUUUGCAUCUAAGUUUUUUUUAAAAAAAAUUAAAAAUAAAAAUCUAAAUCUAUAAACUCAAAAUCUAACUACAUAUCCAAAUUAUUUGGAUUAUGAUUAAUAUUUUAGUAAUUUUAUUCACAUUAUAAACCCUAUUUUAAGCUCUCCCCUCUUCUUUUUUUCUUUUUCAAAAUUUACAGUUUCUUUUUGUAUAAAUUUUGAGUAGUAAUUAAAUUAAUUGUAUAGACUUUGUUUUCUGAAAACUUAAAAUGUAUAGACUUUUAAUAUUAUUUAUUUUUCUUUGACUAACAAUACAUUAAGUGAUAUUUUAUAUGUAUAUAUAAUUAUAACAAAAGUUAGCUGGGACCCUUACAUCCAUCCUUUCGUUCCAGAUUGCACUAAGAAAUGAAGUUCUGACAUUACCUUUCAUAUUUAAUUGUAUUUAAUAUUGAAGGCCUUGAGUCGACGGCCUCUUUGGACUCACAUCAAGUUCGGGCCUGAUUCUGUGUCUUAUAUAUUGGGUUUGAAUUUGGCAGUCAGCGGGUUCCGUAUUAAAUUUCUUCUGAGCUUUUAUCACCCAACCCUAACGACUUGCUUCGUCAUCAUCAAGGUAAUGAACGGAUUCUGGGUUAUGACUGUCGAUUGUUGAAUUUUAUGUUUUUUGAUGCAUGUCUUUUUUGUGCAGGAAUGGAUUGGUAAAUAAGACCUUCUUGGGUAAGUGUUAUUUUGAUGCAUGACCUUCAUUCAGGUAGCAUGAUUUCUUAUUCUGCUCAAGAAUUGAUCUUUUUUUAAGACACAGUUUGUUCACUAAAUCUCUUUACAUCUAAUUUAUUGUCCUUAACUAUUAUCUUAUUGUUUUCAUGAAUUAUUGAUAUAAAAUCUACAAAUUAAUGAGACCAAAGCUUACAAAUCAUUAUAGAUGUGACCUGCUAUAGCAUUUAUGUUUGUGGAGUGCAAUUUUCUUUCUUUUGUCUAACAUUUUUGUUUACUUUAUUGUGCAGGCCAAAUAAAGAAGACAUAUCAUUCUCAAAAAGAAAAAGAAAAAUAAUAAAGAAGGCAGUUUUGUGUUGGAAUGUUUGUCUGAAUGUUUUAAUUAUUACAUGCUAAAUUACUAAUCAUCAUCUUUCAUACAAAAAAAUUUUUAUAAUUUUUUUGAUCGAGAUACAAAAACUCUUGGAUCUUCAAAUAUCAGUUUAGAGAACUUUUCUGAGCUUGUUUUCAUUUGUGAUUCGGGGAUACACAUUUUCACUGCCUUGGUGUGUGUGUCUGCAUUUGAGAUUUCUAUAAACCUUUUCAUUUCUAUAAACCCUUUAGGCAAACCUACAACACUAAGACGUAUAGAAACAGAAAGCAAUUAAGUUAAAGUCUUAUGGUCCAUAUAAACUCACAUUCAACAAAAACAUAGUCCAAGACACUAUAAAGGAUAACUUGGCUGAAUCUGUUUUAGGUACCACCGAAAGACCUUAUGUGGCAGAAAAACCACCCAAUCAGAGACUUUCAAUGAAGAGAAAUUCUUAGGUGCAACAGCCGCACCACCUGGCACAUGCGCAGCCAACCACUCUUUGACACCUUUNNNNNNNNNNNNNNNNNNNNUUUUUUUCCCCAGCUCUUCUUCUCCCUCCCUGCCUCUUCUCCGACGAAACCGAUCCCCUCCGGUCACAGGCGAAACCGAUCCCCUCCUCUCCGGUCACAGGCGAAACCGAUCUCACCAGUCACAGGCACGGCUCGACAGCGGCAUCCCCUCCGGUCAUUGGCCAAAAUUAUCCCGCGCGGCUCGACGGCGGCAGGUUUCUACAAGGCUAUGGUGGAGGCGGCGGCGGGUCCAGGUUUGAAGCGGCAACUGGGCAGAGGGAAAGAACCUGCUAUGCUUUGCCGGAGGGGAUCGGUUUCGCCGGAGAAGAGGCAGGGAGGAAGAAGAAGAGUGGUAAAAAAAAAAACACGCGUCGGCCUGCGACUGGACGGGCGCACCGUCCACGUGGUACGGUCGUCGCACAUAAGAUUUUUUGUUCAAUGAAUGAUGUGAUUAUACCACAUCAGCCUACCAGGUGGUACCUAAAACAAUGUUUCACGUGGCUUUAUUCUUGUUAAUGUUAACUUUAAUCCAAGAUGAUGUUGUUCUAGAAGUAACUUUUCAAACACAAUAGGCAGGCUGCUACAUUUUUAUUUUUUUAUUUUUUAUUUUUUACACCAUAGCUAUGAGCCUAUGAUAUUGUAAAAACUAUAAAUUCUAAACCAUAUACUUCAAAAAACAAAAAAACAAACACAAAUUGUAAAGAUGUGAGAAAGCUCCAAGGAGUCAAUAUGUAAAGUGGCAAUGAUCUGUACCGGGCUAAUUUCAAAGUUCACCCUUUUUUCUACCUUUGGGCCAGUGUGGGAGGGUGUGAAGGAGCACGUCAAGUUCACUACCAAAAGAUAAUUUUUAAACCAAGUUUUACUCUCUGUUCCUAACUCAUCACCAACGUGGACCACAUGAGUAAUGAUAAAAGCAAAUCAACAGGUUCAUAAUGCUUAGAUAUUAAAAUCAUAUAUACAGAUCCCAUGUGUAAAGCAAAAAAAUAAAAUAAAAAAAUCAACAGUCGGUCAAGAAAUCACACCUCUGGACUCCACACAGCACAGUGUUGAUGAACCCAUGUUCCAGCAAUCAAAUUUCUCCGAGGCAGAAGAGCCACUAUAUGCUUCAUUGUCAAUGUCAACCAUAUCCUGAGCUAAUAUUUUUGGAGGCACAAACCGCACUGUCUGCCCUCCUCACCUUUGGGCAUAUCCACCUUCACAUUAUUCACUUCUAUUGCAAGCUUUUCAUCAUGCUUGGAAUGUGAAUCCUUCCCAUCACAACACCCUUCAACUUCCAUUUCAUUUAUUGGGACUCCAACAGCUUCUAUAUUGCCUCACGUUGAUCUUCUCCUUCAACAACACACAGUGCCUGCUCUUGUUCCGUCUGUGUAUCAUAUUCUUCCUCAAUCACAUCAUCAUUUUCUUCUUCAAUCACAUCAACUGAUUGCUCGAUUUGCUCCACCGGUUGAUCAACUUGUUCCACGGUUUCCCCACCAUCUGCAGUUUCUGCAUCUUCCACUUUCUCAUCGCCAAUGCACUCCUCCUCUAACUCUAAAUUCUCUGCCACCUCAAUUACCUUCGUGGCAUCACCCUCCACAGUUUCCCUCUCAUUUCCACCAUCCUCCUCGCAAUCCAACUGCAUUAAACCCUCCCCAUCCACCUCCUCUUCUUCCCCCACAACUUCCUCUUUAACUUCAACCAACUCAUUAUCCUCAUGCUCCGAGCCAUGCGUUGCUCUAACCCUCCCUGGCCUCUUCCAUUUCACAACCUUGGGCCUCCCACCUUCCAACCCCUCCUCACUCUCAUCAUCCAACCCCACCCCCUUCCCUCCACUACUACCCCCAAUCACCUCCUCAAAAAGCUUCCUCUUCCCUUUCCUACACCCCGACUUCCCCCUCCUCGAUCUCAACCUCGCCUUCCUCCUUCUCUUCCUCCUUCACAUUCUUCCCAACCCUCCUCCUCUUCUUCGGCGGCCCCGGCGACAAAUCAAGCACAACCGGGGCCCGCCGCUUGUGGCCAUUUGGUUGAAAGACAGGGAAUGGUAAAGAGACUUGGAACGGGAGGAUCUCAUAGAUGAAAGCUUUCGAAAUGUUAUCCCCUCAAGGUAUGAAAUGUUACUCCAUCAUUUUUUUCUUCAUAUAGGUAGAAUGAUGAUUCCAUUGGAAUAUGACCCUCACGACUUUUCCGUUGAAACCCACAAAGAAAGAAAGCAAAAAGACACAGGUAUAGAUAUAAUUACCCACCACCAUAAAAGUAGAGACAGUUACAGUUUAAAUUCCAUUCUUACGUAUAAAACACACGGAGUCACAAGCUCUGUGAUCCAAAUCUCCCAAAUGGGUUUUCCCAAACUCUUCCUCUUCUUCUUCUUCCUCUUGGUCUCAAACCCAUCUCGAUCUUAUGCUGCAGAGAAUGUGAGUGUGACUCUCUACUACGAGACACUCUGUCCUUAUUGUGCCGAUUUCAUAGUGAACCAUUUGGCCAAGAUCUUCGACAAUGGGCUCAUCUCCGUCGUCACCCUCAGAAUGGUCCCUUGGGGUAACGCUUGGCUCAAUUCCGAUGGCUCCUUCGCCUGCCAGGUCAGCUUUCUCCACCCCCAAUCGCCUCCCCCUUCUUUUCUUUUCAGCUACUCACUCAUCUUCUUCCAACUACCUCAGUGUCUGUUUUAUGACUUUUAUCUCUCUACGUACGACGUCGAUUUGAAUGUCCCCCGUCUUAUCUUUCCAUCUUUUUAAAUUACCUGCCCAUUUGUUAAUCUCAUUUAUAAUUUUACCUCUGUACUUGUAGAAUUUACAUUUACAUUGACAUGUUAUUGAAUUAAACGACAUAAUCACACAUUAGGAGAGAAAGGGUAUUUUUUGACAUUGACAUGUCUCAAGCCCUGAAGGCUUACAUGUGUGAAGUUUAGAAGUACAAGGUGAAUGAUGAUAUAACGAGAAUACACUAAAAAUUGGGGGAGUGUUUAUCCAAAUUUUUUAUUAAAGGUUAUGUGGAAACUCUGUGAAAUCAUUAAGGUUGUUUGAAUUUUACUAUACCUAUCAGUUUUGUAGCUCUAUGAUUAUUCUUUUAACCCUUUUUGUGUUGUACAGCAUGGAACAGAUGAAUGCUUGCUCAACACAAUUGAGGCCUGCACCAUCACCAUUUAUCCUAAUGUGGUAAAGCUUGUCAAUGCCUCUAGGAAAAGAUUUUACAUACUUUGUCUCAAACAUGUGCAUCCUUAAAACUUUGGUUUGGUUACUAACUAUGGUGGAUUAAUUCUGAUGCAGAAUCGGCAUUUUAGAUUCAUCCAAUGCGUUGAGCGGCUCACAUUGCAGAACAAGCACAACAAAUGGGCUGAUUGCUUUGAAAUGUCGAAGUUGGGGACUGUUCCUAUCGAUUGCUACAAUAGUGGAUAUGGCAAUCAGGUUAGUUCAUUUUCAGUCCCACUUUGUUCUUGAUGUUUUUGAACUAUUUCAUCAUUUGAGCCUUGACAAAAUUAAUCUUCAUGGAUUGGCAAUUUGGCAUUGAUGCAUAGAUUGAAACAAAAUAUGCAAAGGAAACUAUUCAGCUUAAUCCACCACAUAAAUUUGUGCCAUGGCUGGUUAUUAAUAAUAAACCACUUGCAGAGGUUAGUCUCUCAAUAAUAGUCUCUCAAUAAUCACAUUUUAGAUUGCUUAUUUCCUCAAUCUUUGUUCCCCUGAUGACCAAUUUUGUCCAUGUAGAACUAUGAUAAAUUCAUGACCUACAUCUGUCAAGCAUACAAAGGAAAAUCUCCAGAAGCUUGCAGAUCGAUUCGCUCCAAGACUGAAUCAAGUGGGAAUGAAAGAUCAAUUCCUCAAGUUUGCUUAGUAGAACAAGGAAGAAACUCUACAUCUUAAGCCUUAGGAGCAGAAAAUGUGGCAUAAAGUUUACUUUGACAUUCCAUAUGAUAAUUGAACCUAAUGUUGAUUGAUAUGACAUAGUUGAAGCUGACCUAUAAGGUUUUAUGGUCUGCUAUUGUGUUCUUAUCUUUUGUGUGUUUUCAAUCCAUGUUUUGUUACUGCUAAAUUAUUCUUGCCAAAAUCUGAAGGUUUUUCAUUGCCACCAUCAUGUACUUAUGAUUGAGAUGAUUCAAUUAUGGCAAAGUAAUAGUAGUCGGUAGGUGUGACAUUGAUCUAUAACCUUGCUGAUGCUGCUGCUCUCUAAGACGUAUAGAAACAUAAAGCAAUUAAGUUAAAGUCUUAUGGUCCAUAUAAACUGAUGCAAAAAGCAAUUAAGUUACAGUGUGUUUGGAUGUGAGUGAAUUCUCAGGUUUUUAAUCAAAACUAAGGAAUUCUCAAUUUCUUAGGACUGUUUUCCCCGUUUGGAUUCUUAUCCCGUGGAAUUAGCAAUUUCUACGGGAAAUAAUCGUGGAAUUUGGGAGGUUAAAUUCCCGACUUGAAUUCCUUACAAAAUAUGUGUCAUUUGUCAAUUCUCUUAGUUGAGGUUAGUCUAAAUACAAAUUCUUGUCAUUUUAAAACUCUACAUCAUGAAAUCCAAACAAUGAAAUUCUCAAUUAAUGAAAUUUAAAUUCAUGGAAUGUAAUUGUAAUUCCCAUGAUUUUGAAAUUUUUAUACAAACACAACGUUAAAGUCUUUCUCUUUUGUAAUGAUUUGAGGAUACACCUUUUCAUUGCCUCGGUGUGUGUCUGCAUUUCAGGGUUUCUCUUAAAAAAAACCGACUUCUUCUAGUAACCUAAAACUAAAUAUCAAUUAGUACUCUGAUCGAUUUAUAGAAAUAUCCGCAUAUCUAAUUAUUUGAAAAUUCAAAACAGUUAACUUAGAAUCGAGCGGUAUGUUUGGUAAUAUGUUUUUGACGCUACUUCCUGUCGGAAAUAAUUAUUGUCAGACUAUCGGUUCACUGAAUAUGUAGAAAUACAUACAUAAAUGAUCUCAAAACAAGGAUAAUAUUCAAACUUUGCAUGGGUAGUUUAUUUGGUUUAAAUGUGUUUUGAGAGUCUUGAUUAGGAGAGAAUAGUUUUCUGGUGUAUUCCUUACAAUUGAUUCUAAAGCUAAUUUUUUUAUUUUUUUCUUGAUUUAAGCAGGAGCGCAGAAACAAUACACCUACUUAGCUAUUUGCUUUAGAGUCAGGAAUUUUGAGUUCCAGAGUCAAUUAAUGUGGGUACUUAUCUCUGUAUUUUAUUUUAUGCAGUUCAAAGUAUCAUGUUUUCCUUUAUGAUGUAUAUUGAAUUUCCUUUUCAUGUUUUUAUUAUUUUGUAGAGAGUUAUAAUUCAGUGAGAGGAUUGCUUGGGGUUGAUGUAGUUUAGAAUCCAUGUGGUGUGAGCAGAUGAAAUAGUUCUGGACAUCAAAAUGUUAUUGAUUAUAUAAGUUGGUGGGGGGACAGAGCAGUGGAUCAUAAUAAGUUUUAUAGGGUAAAUCCAUUAAAUCAAGAUGAUUUUAGUACUAGAAAAGAUGGUAAUACAAAUGCAAAAGAAUAAACCUAAACAACAUAUAAGUUUAUAGUUUCAUUUUGAUUUACACAUUGGUAGUGUUUUUUUUUGUUUCACCAAACGCACUUACCUUUUACUUUAGUGUAAAUCUGGAGCCUAAUGUCAUAAUGUGGUACCAAUUCCUACAAGAUAGAAACUCUAUACAUCAUUGUAUGGUCUUUAGUUUUAUGAUAGAUAUGGAUGACAAGUAGAAAUUAUACCAGAAUACUUCUUUUUUACUAUUUAUUAUUGCAUCGUGUACCUUGAGUAAGCUGCCAGAAACUGAAAGUUGAACUUUUAAUGGUCCAUUAAGAAGUGCAAGUGUAAUAGGUAUAUUAUUUCCCUUAAAAAAAAGAAAAAAAAGAUAGGCAUAUUUCUGGCAACUCGAAAUCUGUUUUGAGUUGUUGUUACACAGUGCUACUGGACUUCUCUCAUGUUUCUUAGGGAUCAUAUAUGUAAAUUUUGCUCAUCUGAAAUCCAGCCUUUUAUGUGUACCAUAUUGCCGUACUGACUUGCUAAAUUGAAAUUUUGUGUUUUAUGUAUUCCAUGUUGCCAUAUUGAUUUCAGUUUACCACCAUUAGCAGUAAUGAGUUCAAAAAUUAUGCAUUUUAUGUUGCUUUGUUUUGAGUUCUGAUCUUAUUCAUAUUGAUGUAUACACUCAUCAUGUUUUUUUUUUAGCUAUUUGGUGUUUGUAGCAUAAGCUAAACUAUAUAUUCAUAUACUGCAUAUUAAAUAUCGUUGCACGCUUUGCAUUAUAGAUUGCUGAUCUGAGCAUAUACAAUACAUUUGUUUACGUAAAAGUUUAGAGAUUUUGCAUAUUGGAAUAUUGAACUAUAUCUUUCUUCCAAAAUGAAAGGAAAGCACCAAAACUGGACUAGCAAGUCAUCAAUGGAAAUCAUCAGCAAAGAAAACACCGAAGUGUCAUACACUUAUAAACAAAAUUGUAGCAAUAACUUUUUCAACAACCUCAUAACUAUGUACAAGCUUAUACAACUUUUAUAGCAUGUGUUAAUGGACAAAAUCAACUACUUUUUGCAAGCUGUCCACUAACAAUUGUAACCAGUUAGUCUUGAAAAGUCUGUUUCUUAAGCACUCUUUGCAGCAUCAUCUGUAUUUGUGGGUAUCUCAGUUGUCUGAAUUAAUUUAGCAGUUAUCUUAUGAUUCAUAUGAAAUAAAUUUUUUGUCUUUUGAAGUUUGGUUCUCAAAAGAAACCCAAAAUAAAACUUUCAUGUUAAAGCAUUCCUGCCGAAACCGGCAGCAAAGCGCGGGUGCAAUUUCUAGUGCAGUAUCCGAUUAAAAUAUUUUAUUAAAUAUCGUGACUGUGUCACAUAAAUCGACACAUAAGGAGGAUAAAUGGAUAAUGUUGAGAAAUAUCAAUGAUUUAGACCCUGAUCGCAACGUCACAUAGGUGAUGUAUUAUGCUUUCAGUUUCGUUGCACUUAAUAAUGACCAAGUGGACUAACCAGUCACACCACAAUGUGGUCUUUUAUCCUUGAUUUGAUAUGGUGAUGCUCGAAGAUGCCAAGAACUCCAUGGAUAAGAGCUAGAAAACAGGUGUCCACAGUAAACCUAGGUUCAUCUACCCCAAUGCAGACACGUGUAAGGCUACAGACUACAUUGCAGUUUCCCAUAUAGUGUUUGGCCUUCAGAUCAAGCCAGUGGAAUCAUUUCGAGUGAAAGCAGCAAAGCCAUCCAAUUAAGCACUUGCUUCAGUAUGCCAAUGAAGAAUGUGAGAGAUGACGCCAGAGAUAGCCAGAUCAGCGGCUUCUCUGAGUUCUCUAAACCACAAUGCUCUGGUAAACUGAUCAAUCCCAAUGUGUUCAAUUCUGGGUUUGAGGGGAAAAGCAUGUUUGACAGCUCUGAUAGUCAGAGCUUCUAUGAAAGGCUAAGCAAGUUGAAUGAGUCAAAUGGGUACAAUCUUGUGUAAGUUUCCUACUUCACUGCAAAGUUUUGAUCUUUUGGGCUUCAUGUUCUACUUUCCUUUUAUGCAUUAUGUUUUCCAUUUCUGUAAUGUGUUCAAAGCAAGGAAUUCUAUGAUGGGUUUCUGCUUUGUUUUGGGAAGCAGAAAGAGAACUAGGAAACGUUUAUCACAUGCAAUUCAAAAUUAAGUUUAACUGGAGUGCUUGAUGAGCCUCCUUUUGACUGGCAGAUUUGAUGUCAGACAUACCAAAUUGAAUUUGCAUCUGUUUUACAAGGAAGUUACUCUCAGGGGAGGCUUUAAUCAGGUUUAUUCCUAUCAUUUACUUGCUGAUCCUAUUUAUUAAGUGAAAAGAACUGUGUGACCAUGUCAUUUUAGUAUCUUAUAUCCUGAAAGCUUGUUACCCGAUUGUGUUGUUCUUGGCUUCAUGGAGUUUGAUAUCUUGAUGCAUUUCCAGGUGAACAAAGAUAAGAGAUGGGAUGAGGUUGCAUCCUCUUUGAAAUUGGAUGGGAGGAAACUCAAUUAUCAGGAUAUUCUUCUAAAGCUUUAUGCGCUCUUUCUGUUUCACUAUGAACAGAUUUACUUUUAUAGGGGACCCGAGAAAUCGGCUUCAAUGCCAGGUAUAGCAGCUAAUCCAAUAGUUAGCCAAGCCUUCAGGAUUCUACCAUUCAUAUGUUUUGCAAAAUCUACGCAAAGUGCGUGGUGUUUACUGCUUAGAAAUUUUUGGUUUCAAUUAGAGUUGAGUGUAUUUUAGACUGAUGAGGUUGAAAUUUGCAGAUAUCACUGUAGAUAGGGAGGAUAGUCCACGAAUGGAAAUGAAGUACACCAACCAAGCUUCUCGAAUGGUCCCAAGUGUUGGAGAAGGGCCUGGAGGGAAGAAGAUGCUCAAGGAGAACUGUUCUGAUAUUAAGGAUAGCCCACAAAUGGAAAUGAAGUGCACCAACCAUUCAUCUCAAAUUGUAACAACUGUUGAAAAUGGGCCUGGAGGUAAAAAGAUGCUCAAGGAGAGCUGUUCUCAAUCAACAUCCACAGGUGAUACAGUAUUGUCACCAUUUUCUUGUACUCUGUAGAUUAGCCAUCAUGUAGCAAAUGCACAUUGAGUAGUUAUAAUUCAACCUGGUUUCGCAUAGGCGAACAGUGCUAAUUGUUUCUCUUUAUCAUGAACAAAUAUUGAAGUGUGAAGUUAGGUGGUUUUAUAGCUUAUUGAACUUUCUUUUAACCCCUUGUAUUGAAAAUAUGAGUAGGUUUGGUGUCUGCAGAAAAACAAUCAGCACCUGAAACAGAACAAAAGCAGAUCCUCCAGCUGCACUCAGAGAAAGAAGAAAUAGGAACAAAAAGUUCUGCAUUGGCAGAAAACCAACCAGAAGUACCUGAAGUAGCAGAGGAGCAGACCACCCAGCUGCACUCGAAGAAAAAACAGAUGAGGAAAAGAGGUUCAGCAUCAGCAGAAAAAGAAUUGGCUGUACCCAAGAAAAAAUGUAUGAGAAAGCCAGGUGCUCGACAAGGGUUACGCAGUGGUUACCACAUCUUUAUCAAGACAGAAUGUGAUAGGUUAAAAGAAAUUAAAUGUAAUAAAGGCCAGAAUCUCCGACAUAUGGCCAAUGAUGCGUGGAAUCGGCUAUCUGAGGCUGAGAAACAGGUACAAUUCCCUCAAUAUUUAUUUAUUCCCCUGUUGUUAAGCAGCUAGCCCUAAUCAAUAUGUGACUCGACUUUUUUGUGACUAUUAAUCUAGAUGAGUGCUGGGUUUGAAACCAAACCUGUAGCACACAUAGUGAGAGUAUUGAGUAUUAGUAUUCAUGAAUCACGAUUUUCAUGGGGACAAUCAGUAACUUAUCAUCAAGGAGAGGACUAUGUUAAGUAGCAUGAGUAACAAAAACAUGCCAGGUUGAUUGUUUCUAAGUUUUCUACUGCUGUUUACUCUCGGCAUAGAUAUUAAAAUUGUCUCCUUCCUUGCAGCCCUGGAUUGAGCAAAGUAUCAAGGAAAAGGAGCAAAUAAUCAAGGAAAGGGAGCAAAGAAUCAAGGAAAAGGAAAGCUCUGCCAAUAAAGUGGUUGUUGAUGAUGAACAAACCCAUGCCAUGGAAUGUGCUGAUUUGGAGAACAAGCAGUCUUCACCGGAUGGUGACAACCAAGUAAUUUUGGAUCCAAGUGAUUCAGAUAAAUCUAUUGAGGUAGAUUAAUCAUUAGUUAACCCAAUAGUACAAACAGAGUACUGGGAUAACUGAUGUAGAUACAAUGCGGGUGACUAAUUUUAGAAAAUAUGUUAAGGUGCUUUUAUAUCCAUGGGAAGAUGGAUUCUUGUACAUAUCCUAUGGGACUAAGGAAAUUUUUUUGCAUAUGUUUUGCAGUAUAAUCUAGCUUUCUGUUUCAGUUUUUUCUUGUAUUAUAGAAAGAAUGUAGGGAUUAAUUUGGUUGCUCAUCGAUCCAUCCCUCUUGGUUUAUGAAAUCAGUUGUGUUUGUUAAAUGCAUCAGUUCCUGAUGAGAUAGCUGCUUCUCCCACUUAACACGGUAGGACAUGUUUGCCCCAGGUCCACUGCAGUUUGCUUCUGAAAAUGUGAUUAAAUCCCUAUUCAGAAUAACAGAAAACAAGGAAGCAUUAGAUAACCAGAAUUGUUACUGCGUGAACAAACAUUCAGACAUGAGAAGAGGAACUUACUCAGAACCAACACUCCAUGAUGGUAAAUUCCAACCUUCUGGGGUGAUUAUAUCUUCCAUAUAUGUCCCGGCAAACAACACUCUUGAGUAGUUCCUGUAUGAUCUUCCCAGAAAUAUUGGACCCGAACCAGAUACAUAACAAUGUUUGAACACAAAGCCAGUAGUUUCGUUCGCGCUUUCACGGCCCUGAGCUGUAAUGAAACCGGCACGGCCUAUUCUUGAUGUUGUUGAAUUUAUCUGGCACUUCUGCAAAGUGCAAACACAUAUGUAGCUAAAUGUAUCAUGGUUUCUGGUAAUGGAAGUGAAAUGAAUAGGAGAGAAAGCUGCAAGGGUUUUGUACCUCGUACAUUGACUGGCCAUUUCCCCAGAUGAAGUCUAUAGCACCUUCAACAUAGGAAUCAUAAAAAUAGUGACGACCUCUGGCAUCACUUAACGUGUCUUGCAAGCUAAUGAAACCACACUGAUAGAAACUUGCUUUGUCCCCGGCAAUGGCAGCCGCCGGUGCCCACGUAACAUUCCUCACUUCAUCAUCCAUUUCCAGAAGAGUAUUGUAUGUAUUCUGCUAGGAUAAAAAUUAUUAGCAAAAUGUAAAACUUAAUUACUUAAAGCUAAAGAAGGUGAGAGUAUAUAUUGUAUGUAACUCAAAGCAUCAUACUUAACCUUGAAUGUUACAUGACGUGCAAUGAAGUUAUCUGCCUGCAACUUAAACGUAGGGCUUUCAACAACAUUUCCAGCAUCUCCAUAUUCGAUUGUGGUUAGACCAUUCGGGUUUCCUUCAAGAAUAAUGUAUGGUUUCUCUCGAGGGAUUUCAACUUUCUCACUAAAUCACACAGUAAUUACGUAAUUAGGAUUCAAAAUCUGUCACUCAGCUGAGUCAGCUCAGAAAUGAAAUAUUUUUGUUACUUACAUGUAUGUACCAGAGCUAAUGAGGAUACGAGUCCACAACAAGUUAUUUGAUGGUAUGGAAUCUAUGGCUUGCUGCACUGAAGUAAAAUUUCCUAGACCACUUUUAUCGACUACAAUAGUACGAGACACGCAGUUUGGUAGACCUGAUUUCACUGCUGUACUACUAUAGCGGGCUUCCAAUGCACCUAUGAAAAGGAGGAGAGGCAAUAACUUUGAUAGAAGAGAUUGCAUACUGCAAAACUUCAAGAAAACUUGGCAGAAUGCAAAAUGGACAACAAUGAGAACCCAAUACUUGUUUUGACACAAGAAGAUGAUUGAUUAUAGUUCUCUGUAUUAUAUAGAAGACACAAUCAACUGUGCAUUUGGUCUUGUCUGUGUGCAAUUGUAUAACCUGAUCUGUGAUUGUGUUGUCCUCAAAGAGAAUUUUCAAUGGUCAGAACAAUAAUGACCUUUGUAUUUUCGAUUUAGAUUACUUGGCUAAUAGAGAUUAUCAAAUUCAAUUGUCCUUCAGAUUUUCACCAAAAUAAUUGAAUUAUUCCACCCUAAUUAUAUGAUUUCUUUUUCUGUGGUUUGACCAUGUCUUCUAUUUUUUUCAGAGAAAAAUAGCUAAAGAACAAAUUGAGGAUUGCACUUCAAAACCUACAAACGACAUGUCAUAUCUAAUGACAUUAUCGCUUUAUCUUCAGUGAUAAGUAAUCUGCACCUUAGCCUAGUCCGGAUAGAGCAGAGAAAACAUGAGCACAACCACCACCACCACCACCACCACAAACCUUCCUCAUCACGUCAAACCAAAACAAGCCUCACCAGAAUCAAAACCACCCACCUUCAAACUCUCCCAGAAAACAAUCUUACACAUCUUGAACUCAAAAUGCACCACUUCUCUACAAAACCUCAAGCAAGCACAUGGUGUUGUCCUAAGGUCAGGCCACUUCCAAGACCACUAUGUAGCAGGCACCAUACUAAAAUGCUAUGCAAGUUCAAACUUCAACAACUUUGGGUUUGCUUUGAAGGUGUUUGAUAAUGUGUGGAAGCCAAAUGUGUUUGUAUGGAACAUUAUGAUCAAAGGGUGUGUGGAGAACUAUGAGGCACUGAAAUCUAUUUCAUUUUAUUAUAAGAUGGUGGAUAUGAACUCCAGGCCUAAUAAGUUCACCUAUCCUAUGUUGUUCAAGGCCUGCAGAUUAGUUCAAGCAGUGGAGGAAGGUCUGCAGAUUCAUGCACACGUGGUGAAGCAACAACUUAGUGAAGAUGGGCACAUAAGAAGUGCCGGGAUUCAAAUGUAUGCGUCUUUCGGGCUUGUGGAGGAGGCAAGGAGGAUACUGCUAGAGGACGCGGCGUCUGAUGUUGUUUGUUGGAAUGCAAUGAUUGAUGGGUACAUAAAGUGUGGGGAUGUGGAAGCAGCUAAGGAGUUGUUUGAGCAUAUGCCAAGUAAGAAUGUUGGGUCUUGGAAUGCAAUGGUGAGUGGUUUCGCUAGGUGUGGGAGGUUGAAAGAUGCAAGGGGGCUGUUUGAUUCAAUGACCGAGAGAGAUGAGAUUUCGUGGAGUGCUAUGAUUGAUGGAUAUGUGCAGGGAGGGUACCACAAGGAGGCAUUGGAAGUUUUCAAUGAGAUGCAAAAGGAGAAGAUUGCUAGUCCUAGUAAGUUUGUAUUGUCGAGUGUGUUAGCUGCUUGUGCUAAUGUGGGAGCACUUGAUCAAGGAAAGUGGGUUCAUGGUUAUAUUAAGAAGAACUCAAUUCAGGUGGAUGCAGUGCUGGGGACUGCUUUAGUUGAUAUGUAUGCCAAAUGUGGGAGGCUUGACAUGGCAUGGGAAGUGUUUGAAAAUGUAAAACGGAAAGAGGUUUCGACAUGGAAUGCCAUGAUUGGUGGGCUUGCUAUGCACGGCCGAGCAGAUGAUGCAUUGGAUGUUUUCUUCAAGAUGCAAGGGAAGAACUUGGAACCAAAUGGGAUUACAUUUCUGAAUGCUCUAAGUGCCUGUGCUCAUGGGGAGUUUGUUGAUGAAGGUCUUACAAUUUUCAGUUCUAUGAAGGAAAUGUAUGGUAUGGAGGCUGAGGUAGAGCACUAUGGUUGCGUUGUUGAUAUGUUUGGAAGGGCAGGACUUUUGGAAGAGGCAGAGCAGGUUAUAAAUUCAAUGCCAAUUGAACCUAGUGCAGCUGUUUAUGGUGCCCUGUUGGGAGCUUGCAGGAUACAUGGAAAUGUUGAAAUGGGUGAGAGAGUGGGGAGGAUUUUGCUUGAAUUGGAACCACAAAAUGGUGGACGCUACGCAUUGUUAUCUAACAUCUAUGCAGAGGCAGGUAUGUGGGAUGAUGUUGCAGAGGUAAGAAAAUUGAUGAAGGAAAGGGGAGUGAAAACAAAUCCUGGAAUCAGCAUGGUUGAUAUUGGUGGCAAAGUGCAUGAAUUCAAAAUGGGAGAAGGGUCACACCCACAAAUGAAGGAGGUCUACUUGAUGCUUGAGAAGAUCAUAGAAAAGCUGGAGAUGGAGGGUUAUUCACCGAAUACCUCUGAAGUUUUGUUCGACAUUGCAGAGGAGGAGAAGGAAACAGCACUACGAUACCACAGUGAGAAGCUUGCAAUUGCUUUCGGAGUACUCAAAACGAAACCAGGAACAACCAUCCGUGUUGUGAAGAACUUGAGGAUUUGUGAGGACUGUCAUUCUGCCAUAAAGCUGUUUUCACAAUUAGACAACCGGGAUAUAAUAGUGAGGGACCGUAUGCGCUAUCAUCAUUUCAGAAAUGGAAGAUGUUCGUGCAAGGAUUUUUGGUAAGGUCUAGAAUUUGAUACACCAUAUUCUUGGAUGUUCAUACAUAUGUAUAAUUUAUAUACAGAUGUAAAUAUUUUAAAACACCCUUGCAACCUUCUUAGUUUACACUUCAAAUAUGGUGGGAUCAGUUAGUUAUAUAAACAUCAUCAUCAUCAAACUCAUGGAGACACUAGAAACAAGUUGGUUGUUCAUAACUUCAUAUCACAAAUGCAGAAAGUAACCAAAGAGUAAUGUGGAACUAGAGUUUAAACUGUUACAUACAGUCUACGGUGGACAAGCAUUUUUGUUGCUGUUGAGGAACUGGUGUCGGCCACCCUGGAAGCACAAAUGGGUAGAUACAAUAUGCGAAACCACUCAAUGAACACUAUCUCGGAUCUUUUGUACAGUCUCUAAGGUUCCACCACAAAGCUUGCACAAGACCACUUCGAAUUCAUUUCUCAACUGUAAACGAAUCCACACACAUCAGCUGCAAGCGCCCUCCGCACAACUAGCCAUUUUUCAUAGUUAUGAUACCUAAAGUUGGGAGAUAAGAUUCAGGCAAUUUAUAUUUGAACACUACUAGAAAGCCGAUGCCAUCUCUUUAAAAAUAUCCACCAUCUCUGUGCACCUCUGCAGUAAGCUGAUGAUACCGUCUCGAUCCAUGUCACACUUCCUAAAGCUCAAGUACUUUAAUUUGGGCAGCUUGCUGGAAAUCGCAAAUGUGUCGUGUUUACACAUCUGGGAAUUCAACACGCGCAAAUCAACAACACUCUUGCAGCGAAGAUGUGUGAGGAUUAGAAAACUAUUAAGUUUCUGGUGGCGGAAGUUGCGGGAGCUGCUUUCCAAUGACAAUGUCUCCAAGUUUGUACACUUGGUAAACAGUUCCCUAAGUGCGAGUUUGUACUGCAUUGUGAGCUUGUAGUCGCACCAAAGAGACAAGAACUUAAGUCCGGGAAUCCUGCAAAAGAUAGUAGCAUAGCAUAAAACACUUGUGGUUGAAAUCGAUACUAGAUUGGCAAAAUAGAAUAGAUGCAAUCCACAAAGAUUACAAGUUUGGUUCUGAGGAAACUUACACAUCUGAAACAGAUGUAAGAACUUGGGGUACGCAAUUUCGGGGUAGCCCAAGAGAAGUGGCAAGUCCGUUGCUGCGCUUGAGGACAACCUUUACAAUACCACUGAUAGAGAAACGACUGCUCUCAAUUGGAUAAACGUGCACGAACUUAUCAUAGAAAGAAUUGGGUUCCCGAGGUUUGGGUUCAUCUUCCUCAGAGGAAUCAUCGGAAUAGUCAUCCUUGUCAAUGGCACUAUGAUCAAUGUCGGGAAAAUCAAGAGACUGCCAGCAUGAAGGAUUGUGGCUUGCUCUGUGCCAUGACUUGCAGACGAAGGGGACAUCGUAGAGCAGUUCCUCCAUUCCAAGUCUUGCAAACACGUUUAGUAAACAGUCGAGGUUCAACUCGUCCCAUUGUCGCUGCUGCUGCUUGUCCAUCUGCAAAAGAGAAAUAAAAUGCAGAGAUAACACACCACACUCCUCAUCAGUCAUAUGACAUAUUAAGACUAAAUUCCAACUAUACACCAAACCAAAACCCAAAUCAUCCAACCCAUCAUAACCCAAUAAAAAUCGAAUCUUUCAUUCAAAUUUGCACAAACAAAACGAAACCCAACAAGAACAAAAGGGUACCUCGAGAGUGGCUGUUGAGACGAGAGAGGAGAGGAUGGAGCGGUUGGGCCCAGUCGACUAGAGCUCGAACCUAUAUUCAGUCGAGGAACUGUAACAGAUCUCAAUCGGAUAAUAUGGCAUCACCACAAUUUCUCAAGCUUGAAGCUAUAAAAGUAUAAAUGAAUCCAAAACAGACAACUACUGCUCCAUAUCCGAUUCCGAAAAAAAGAAAAGAAAAGGAAGCACUGAAACGUCACGGAGGGCUCCAUCUUCCUCUGUUGUGUCUAGUCGCACUAGUACAGUAAAAUGAAAACGGUUAAAGCGACGUCGCUUUGGUUUUAUAUGUAUCUAUCGAUGUGAUCAUGUUGUUGUUUGUUGAUCUGAAAAAUUAGUUCGAUUCAAGGAAUUUUGGUAAGGUCUUGAAUUUGAGACACCCUAAUUAGUCUUGGAUCUUAGUUUACACUUCACAUAUGGUGGGAUCAGUUGGUUAUAUAAACAUCAUCAUCAUCAUCAUCAUCAUCAAACUCAUGGAGACAUUAGAAACAAUUUGGUUGUUCAUAACUUCAUGGGAAAAUGCCUAUAUAUUAUUAAUUUUAGCCCAUAAUUACCCAUUUUAAUGACAAUUUUUUUCAUGAGUUCAUUUGAAUAUAAGAUAGCUUCUUUUGUGUUUAAAUAAACAAAUAUUUACUUAAGGAAAAUGUCUAUAUAUUACUAAUUUUAGCCCAUAAUUACCUAUUUUAAUGACAGUUUUUUUUCAUGAGUCCAUUUGAAUAUAAGAUAGCUUCUUUUGUGUCCAACUAAAAAAAUAUUUACUUAAAGUCUUAACAAACAAUAUUAUUGUAGGAUUAUUUUGUCCUUACUCCUUAAACAUGCAUAGAGAGAAAAGACUUGUUCGGAACCUCACCGAACUCCGGUCACCGGUUGUCAGAAUUACUAACCCUCAGUAAAUAUGUUAUUGACCCCUAACAAUAAAUUAUUGACCCCCAGUAAACAUGUUAUUGACUCCUAAUAAUAAAUAAUUGACCCUAAUCGUUUGCUAGAAUUACUAACCCCUAGUAAACAUGUUAUUGACCCCUAACAAUAAAUUAUUGACCCUCAGUAAACAUGUUAUAGACCACUAAUUAUACAUUUCUCUUAAACCUUAUGCCAAACAGCAAAAACCAACAAAACCCCCCUCACGAAAUUAACAAUAUGUCUCUCUUGGAUCCUUUCACAAUUUUCGGCUCAGAUUCGAGCAACUCUAGCACUGGAAGCAAACAUCAAACUCUCACAUUUUCAAAUGAUUAUUGACCCCAAUAAAUUUACUUAUUUACACUAAAAAGUAAAUAAGAAGAAUGAGAUGAAGAAUUUCAUAUUCAAAACGAUAGCAGAACACCUCAAAACCACACUCACUAAUAUUCUUGACAAAGUCAUAUUCGACAAAGCCAUCAGAGUUGGAGUCGGCGGCGAAUGUCAGGGCUCGGUGUUGUCGCACGGACUUUCAUUCUGGCAAGCUAACAUCGACGAGAGGAAUCUGACUUGGACUCGAUGACAACGGUGGUUGAAAUGCUGUUGUUAUGAUAUUAACGCCGGUGGGAGGAAUUUGGACUCGUUCGCGAAGACUGCUGCUAUUAUGAUAUUAACGCCAACGGAUGGAAUUUGACUUUGACUGAAAAUGUUGUUUACUAUGUAGCGAAUCUUUAUUGUUAUUAUUCUAUUGUUAAUGUUGAUUCCACUAAGAAACCUUGUAGGUUUGUUAAGCCUAUUCGUUGGCAUGCUCAUCCUCCUCAUACAAUUAAGCUCAAUUUUGACAAGUUUGUUCAAAAUCACUGCCUCUUAAAGAUUUGUCAUUAGAGAUGCGGAUGGACAACUUAUUCUAGCACCUACAAAAAAAUAUUGGUCCUAAUGAUGUACUUACUGCUGAAACUUAUGCGUUACGUGCGGGUUUAUUAGCAGGCUGGAUCUAUAGUUAUCAGAAAAUUUUGGUUGAAGGAGAUUCGUAAAUCCUUAUCAAUUCCAUUAAUGGUACAUGUCUUACCUUUUGGAAGAUUCAAGUGCGCUUGUCAAAGACAUACUCUUCUUUACCUCUCAAUUUGGUCAAGUUUUUUUUUCACACAUAUUCAUCGAGAAGCGAACUUUGUAGCAGAUGCUAGUACAAAGUUAGGACAUCAACUUGAAACUCAAGCCUGAAACAAAUCCCUUCCUAUUGCGCACCUAGUGAGGCAUUCUAUUUUGACUCUUUAGGUAUUGGUUGUAGUAGGGGUUUUGAGUCAUUAUACACUCCAUGCAAAUAGAAACAUCACUAUACACUCCUAUUCAGUCAUAUAUGACAUAUUAAGACUAAAAUCCAACUAUACACCAAACCAAAACCCAAAUCAUCCAACCCAUCAUAGCCCAAUAAAAAUCGAAUCUUUCAUUCAAAUUUACACAAACAAAACAAAACCCAACAAGAACAAAAGGUGGGCCCAGUCGACUAGAGCUCGAACCUAUAUUCAGUCGUGAAAUUGUAACAGAUCUCAAAUAAAGGCGACCUUCUAUUUUGGCUCUCUGGGUAUUGGUCGUAGAGAUUUUAUAUUUUGAGGUUGUUUUAUAGUAUAUAUUGUUGAAAAAAAACUAUAUAUAAUUAAAAAAUGAAAAGUGGAUAAUAAAUCGAACGUCACCCCAUUUUCCACCGCUAAAAAACACAAACAAAAAUUAAAAGAAUUUAUUCAAUAUCAAAGCAAAUUCCAGCUUCUGAAAAAGCCCUUAAACCCACAAACGAAUUGCACAAUUACCUGAAAUCAUUUCUCACUCACACAGCCAUUUGAAGAAAACACACAAGGCCAAUUUCGUCUACAACAACACAGAAAAACAUAACACACGUCCUCUCCCCGCCACUCACUAACAGAAACAACCAGUUUUGCCUCAAGCUCAAACUCCAUGGCCAUGAAGCUUCUACUCUCACCGCCCUCCUCUUCUCUCUCUCAACCCACCACCUUCUUCUCUUUACAUUCCAACUCAACCAGACCCAAACCCAUUUCAGUCCCGACCCUUCUCUUCCAAUGGACCCCAAAACGGUUCGUUUUCUCCAAGAGAAUGGUUGUCAAAGCUUGUGUGAAAGUAGAAGAGAAGAACGUUCAGGAAUCUUCUGGAAGUGAGUGGGGGAAGGUCUCUGCUGUGCUGUUUGAUAUGGAUGGAGUGCUCUGCAAUAGUGAAGAGCUUUCUAGAAGGGCCGCGGUGGAAGUUUUCGCCGAAAUGGGAGUUGAGACCACCGUGGAGGACUUUAUUCCGUUUGGAGGAACUGGUAACAUUUCUCUUAUAUUCAAUGGAAUUGUCGAUUUUACGAUCAAAUUGUUACUGCACCUCUAUUUACAUUGCAAAGUAAUUAAGUUUUUGGUAAAAAGAUUUGAACUUUAGUUGUACCAUUUGUAGAAGUUAACAUGAAACAAAUUAAAGAUUGGAUUUCUACUUGUUAUCUGAUUGUUUAGUUUCCGAUUUUCCUUCUCUAUAUUUUCAUGGUGACAGUGAGUCAGUAACACUGUAAUGUGAUGGUCUGAUGGACCAUUGAUGUGAUUUCCUUAGAGUAAAGUUAUGUUGUGGAAGUAUUUUCUUAUUUCACAGUGUUGCAUUGUUGUUGUAGGUGAAGCGAAUUUUUUAGGAGGUGUUGCUUCUGUUAAGGGGGUAAAAGGAUUCGAUACCGAGGCAGCAAAGAAGAGGUUCUUUGAAAUAUAUUUGGAAAAGGUUAUUGCUUUACCCAAGUAUUAUUUUUUGUUUAUAAGUUAUAUUAAUGUAAUGAGUUGAGACUAGACCUUGAUUGAAAGUAUAUAUUGCUAAUUAUCUGGCUUUUGUGUUUCUUGCAGUAUGCAAAACCAGAUUCUGGAAUAGGAUUCCCCGGUGCCCUUGAACUUGUUACUCAGGUAUCAAGGAAAUAUUUUGUGACUACCUAAAUCUUGCUACACUGCUGAUUGAUUUAGUUAUUCUUUAAUGUAUACAAGCUCUGAUGUGAAACAGUGUAAAAGCAAAGGCCUUAAAGUUGCUGUUGCUUCUAGUGCUGAUCUAAUCAAGGUUAAGGCAAAUCUAGCUGCUGCCAACUUGCCACUGUCAUUGUAAGCCGAUCGAGCCAUUGUGCUUCUAAAGUUGUGCAAUAUUUAUAUAAUAUUCAUUUCUGUAGGGUCAUUAAUUUCAACUCCGGCUAUCCCUGUAUCCUCUUUUAUCAGGUUUGAUGCUAUUGUGUCAGCAGAUGCUUUUGAGAAUCUGAAACCUUCUCCUGAUAUCUUCUUGGCUGCAUCAAAGAUUUUGGAUGUAAUCCCUAGUGAGGUACACGAGAAGAAUUUUAUAUUUUGCUUGAACAAAAGAUUUUUGAAUAAUGAGGUAGACGGAAUUUGUAAAUGUUACUACUCAGUACAGUUGCACAUUCACAGAAGAAAUAGAAGAUGAAGAAAAAGAGUUAAAUAGUUAAAUACUAUAUAGUUGUGACCAAAUUUUCUUAAUGAGUGGCAAAAUUUUCUCCAAAAGAUUGAAUGUAUAUGCUUUCAUCAUUGGCUAUAUAAUGGAGUUGUUCAUUCUUUUUAUUCUGUUGUUCACGUCUUUAAGAAGUUCUCUUGUCCUAAGUGCUCAUUUGGGAUUUGCAUAUGUUUUGGCAGUGUAUUGUAAUUGAGGAUGCACUAGCUGGAGUGCAGGCUGCCAAAUCUGCAAAAAUGAGGUAAAUUUGCAAAAAGGUCUUUGAUCUCUAAACGGCAGUGUUUUCUCUUUUAAUUUUUUUUUUAUCACCAACUGCAUUAGUUUUUAUGUUCCAGUGANNNNNNNNNNNNNNNNNNNNAGUGUUUUCUUCUUUUAAUUUUUUUUUUUCUUUAUCACCAACUGCAUUAGUUUUUUAUUGUUCCAGUGACAGCACUUUUUUUUUUUUUUUUAAGAGUUGCAAAUUAUGAUUCUGUAGUAACUGCUAAUGUUCUUCUGCAACUUGCAGAUGUAUAGCUGUGAAAACUACUUUUUCAGAAGAAGCUCUAAAGAGUGCUGGUCCAUCCAUCAUUCGAAAUCAUAUAGGAAAUAUUUCACUCGAUGAUAUUCUCAGUGGUGGCUCGGAUGGCUAUAGUAUGUAGUCCUGAGAAUAUGCGCAGUCAUUUGUAUCUUCAAAUAAUGUAGAAUGGUGAAGCUACAGUGCUACACUAAUUUCAUUUCUUUAUGAGUUUUAAGUAAGACCUUUUCUACGGGUCCUCUUUGUUGAAACUCUUGCCCGGUUUUUUGCUAUAUGCACACUUUGAUCUUAUCGAUCUGUAGUUUGAAUGAUAGUUCCAUUGAGAUGCAGGCACAAAAGCUUUAAUUUUCAUUAGUCCUUACCAACUUAUUACAGGCUAAUCUUUUCUCAUAUGUAUUCUGGAACAUGAGGUCUUAUGUUGAUAUACCACUGCAGAUGGGAAGAUUCAGGGACCUCAAUCUCUUAAUUCUUCAUCUCAAAUCGCAUCAGAAAAGCUCAUGGAAAGAGAUACUAAUUCUUUUGGUGCUGCCAAUGACGGCGUUUUCUCGUUUGGAGGGUAAGAAGAGUCUAGUUGCAAAAUAUCAGUCAUAUAGCUUAAUUUGAGUUUUUUAUUCAGUGUAUUAAAAGUUCAAGACACAUAAGGGCUCUAGCCAUAUUUUGGACAGCAUAUUGAUCAACUCUUCUGCUUCUCCCCCUCAAAAUCAUGCUUGUAAUACAAAGGUUAUGCCAUGUUGAUCCAAUUUGCUUUGACACACACAUGUGUACUAUGUUGCCUGCAUCUAGUGUGUUGGUAACAUGGAUCUAAGAGGUAUUAGUAAAUGCUCCAAAUGUAUUUAGCAUUUUGUGAGGGUGUAAUGUCCUCUAAGAUGUGGUUCUCUUUGUUUUGGUGUCUAACUUAAUUGCUAACACGCUCCAAGAAAAAAGCAAUUGCUUAUAAAGAAAUAGAAAAUUUAUACAUAAAUUACUUCAAUAUUUAGCUGUGAAAUCUAUUAUUAUAAGAAUAAUCAUCAUAUAAUUGCAUUUUCAAAUCAAAGAAAUACCCUAUUAAGUUGCCUCAGCUUGAGGCUGGAGAAUAAUUGAUGGACAGGUUUCAGGGUUGUUCGGCGAGAUAUAGUGAAAUAUGGAAGCUUGGGAAUUGCUUUGUCUUGCCUUGCCUUCACCAUAUCAAACUGGAAGGUACAACUAAAUAGAGUAGAUUGGUUGGAGAGAGAGUCUGUGUGUGUGUGUGUGUGUGUGUGUGUGUGUGUGUGUGUGUGUGUGUGUGUGUGUGUGUGUGUGUGUGUGUUGUGUGUGUGUGUGUGUGUGUGUGUGUGUUGAAUUUAAACAGUAAUUUACAAGUGAUCAUAAGCUUGCAAAAGCGCUCUCUGGAAUGUGAUGUAUAAUGGUCUACUCAUGGCCAGGCAAUGCAAUAUGCAUCACCAAAAGCUAUCUGGAAUGUGAUAUUUGGGGUCAACCAGCCAUCUAUUGCACAGAAAGAAGGUACUAAUGUCACAAACCUCUGGUUGGCAUAUUCUUUUCAGUUUAUUGUCUGCCUAAUCCUUCGUUAUCUUAUGUAAUAUGUGCAUAUAUCGUCAUCCAAUUUCUUUUAAUAUGUGACAUUACAUUAUUACAACAUAAUUCUUAUUAUCUGACUGAAGUAUCUCUAUUGGUUCAUAGUUCGAGACUGAAAACCACUAUUUCUUUUUGUUUCAUUCAAUUAUAGGUGAAUCAAAGAUGGAAAGAAUCCAACAAUUUGUGAACUAUAUAUCUGACCUGGAAUCCAGGUAAAUUGCUGACAUACUAAGUGUUGUACAUAAUUCCUCCAUAUCUCAUUGUUACUGUAUAAGAAAAGUAUGUCUAAUAUGCUUCAACGAUCAACCUUGUACUAUGCAAGAGGAGCUGCUCCUAUUGUUCCAGAAUUUCCACCAAAACUUGAUUGGUUGAAUACAGCUCCCAUCAAGUUAAGCAAGGUGAUUUCUUUUGAACCUGAACUUCUAUUUAGUGUAACCAAGGUUUAUUGUAUAGCUUUAAUUUUGAUAAAGCUUUUGGCAGGAUCUCAAAGGAAAAGUGGUUGUGCUGGACUUUUGGACCUAUUGUUGUAUAAACUGUAUGCAUGUACUGCCAGACCUAGAGUUUUUGGAAAGAAAAUACAAAGAUAUGCCGGUAAUCCUCUUUUCGUGUUUCUCUUCAUUUGAAGUCUCAGCCAUCUCAGUCUUAUUAUGUUCCAGGCUUCUGCUUAUAUCAGUUGCUGAUCAUACAUCUAACAAAGUUGUACGAGGCUAACUUAGUUUUUUUCCUUACAAAUUGAAGCUCCCAUCCUUUGAGACAGCUAUUACCCUUUCACACGUAGAUUUUCAAAAUGGUACAAACAUAUCUGAUCUAGAUUUCCAUCACCCUAAGACUAGUACUGUCUAUGUGGCACAAAGAACCAAGUGACAAGUUAAUAGUGAAAUGAGGACUUACAAAAGAACAAUUAAUGUGUAAAUGUGUAUCUUGAUAUAUGAAUACCAUACUUUUUUCAUGUUGUUGUGAAAGUUUGCCCCUUUCAAUAAUGUUUAUCUGGCUGAUCCAUGUAACAGCUGACCAAAUCGAUAACUUUAAUAUAUUUAUUAUUAUGUAGUUUGCUGUGGUGGGAGUUCAUUCGGCAAAGUUUGAUAAUGAGAAGGAUUUAGAAGCCAUUCGGAAUGCAGUAUUACGCUAUGACAUCACUCACCCAGUAAGCCUCAUGCUUUGUAUAAGCUGAUCUCUCAAUCUAUUCUGGGACUCUGGAUAUUCUAGUACUUUGAGUAGUUUGCUCUUUCACUUCUUUGGUAAUGUUUGUGCAUCUAUCACUGGUUGUUCUAUUACCAGAACUAUUUACCUGGAAACUGCUGCAUGAAAAGUAUGAUAAAUAUGUAACUGUCAAUCUUUUUGAUGAUUUUACAUGGUUUAUGAGCUUGAUAUUGCCGAAGUUGAGUUACAUGUUCUCAUGCAUAUAAUUAUGUUUCCUAUAAUUAAUUUGCAUCAUUGGACCGAGUUACUCAUUUAUGUUAAGAUUCUUACUUUCUGCAAAGUUUCCUGCUUUUAACCAUAAAUCAAGUGACAUUUCAGCAUAACCAUCUUAAAAUUGAGUUUAUUGCAUAUUGAAGUUUAUCCUACCAAUUAAACUUUUAUGCCUUUCAUGUUUUAGGUAGUCAAUGAUGGAGAUAUGUAUCUAUGGAGAGAGCUAGGUGUGAAUUCAUGGCCAACAUUUGCUGUUGUUGGGCCCAAUGGAAGACUUCUUGCUCAACUAUCAGGUGAAGGUCGCCGCAAGGUAUUAUAAAUUUAUAACUAAUUUCAUAAUUUCUUUGUGGUAGACUGGUAGUUGUAAGUUACUCAGUUUCACGAAUUUCUACAAUUCUAUGUAGCAAUUGGCCAAUCAAUAACCUUUUUAUUUUCAUAGGAUCUUGAUGAUUUGGUGGAGGCAGCUCUUCUGUACUAUGGCCGAAAGAAGAUAUUGGACAAUGCACCACUUCCUUUGAGUUUGGAGAAAGAUAAUGAUCCCCGUUUGUUUACAUCUCCCUUAAAGUUUCCUGGGAAGCUAGCAGUUGAUGUCGAGAAUGAUAGGCUCUUCAUUUCAGACAGUAAUCAUAACCGCAUAGUAGGCUCUCUCUCCCUCACUCAAACCCACACACCCCGUCUAUUUGGAAACACCCUGCACUUUGUGUCUCUGUUUGUGCGCAUACAUUUGUUGCAAAUUUGUGAUAGCAUAAGUGAAUGUGAACUGGAUUGUUAUUUAACCAUGCUGUUGUAUGUGGAGCUCAGGUUGUUACCGACCUAGAUGGAAAUUUUAUUGUCCAAAUUGGAAGUACAGGAGAGGAAGGUCUACGUGAUGGUUCUUUUGAUGAUGCCACCUUUAAUCGGCCUCAGGUAAGAAAAGAGUCUGUCUUACAAGCAUGUUAUACACACUCUGCUGAGUCUGCUGACACAGAUUUAUUUUAUGAAUCUGCGAGCUUUCUGAGGUUUACCAUCUUAUUUCAUAUAUUUAAUGUAUGCAUAUAACCUUUGGGCAUGUCUAAUCCUAGGGCCUGGCUUACAACACAAAGAAAAAUCUUCUCUAUGUAGCAGAUACUGAAAACCAUGCUUUGAGGUAUGUGGAGGCUACAGAAAUCCCUUUUCAUUUGAUCAUGCAACUGCCUGUGUUUCCUGCUAUUAGAGCAUAUAAGACAUGAAAUGAUGGAAUUAUCAACCCUUAAAUACUUAAAUAUAUAGCUAUCUGAAUUCUUCACAUAAAGAAAUAUUACUUCGAAAGAUUUUGUAACCUAUAUUUCAAGGUUUGUUUCCCAUGCUUUUUCUUCUGUGACUGAAAAAUAUAAUGAUUGAAGUGGUAUAGCCCAUCUGUUGACACUUAUAAAUGAAUUGUAAUAUUGUGAAUCAAGGGAAAUCAUAUUCAACAAGUUCCUGUCAUAAUAUAUCUCUAAAAUUGUAGGGAGAUUGACUUUGUAAACGAAACAGUGCGUACUCUAGCUGGAAAUGGAACCAAAGGCUCUGAUUACAGAGGGGGAGGAAAAGGAAGCACUCAGGUAAGACUGGAUAUACCUUGAUUUAGAGGAUGUAAACCUUUCUUAUUAGGAACAAUGAAGAACUUCUGGUGAUUUAUCUAAAAUGACAAAUUGAAUUACAAAAUUCUUGAACAACAUCUUCAUUUUAUUUCAGCUACUUAACUCUCCAUGGGAUGUCUGCUAUCAUCCAGUGAAUGAGAAAGUUUAUAUUGCAAUGGCCGGCCAACAUCAAAUUUGGCAACUUGAUAUAGUUGAUGGGGUUACUAGAGCUUUUAGUGGUGAUGGUUAUGAAAGAAAUCUGAAUGGAUCAAGGUAAUUGAUAAUUUGAAGUUGCUAAAAGGCAAUAUCAAUUUUUUCUGCUGUUAUAUAAUUCCAGGCUUGACUUGGUCGUUUUGUUCUUUCAUUGGAAUAGCGCUUCAAGCACAUCGUUUGCACAGCCUUCUGGAAUUUCAUUAUCUUCUGGUAACAUUACACCAUUACUUUCAAUCAUCAUUUUUAAGGUUUUUUUUUUUUCUUUUCUGUUUUUACUGUAAAUGGAGUUUCACAGGUUAUAACUAUUUUGGUUGUUUCAGAUAUGACGGAGCUGUAUAUUGCUGAUAGUGAGAGUAGUUCUAUCAGGGUUCUUGUUCUAAAAACAGGAGGAUCGAGAUUGCUAGCCGGUGGUGAUCCAGUUUAUUCAGACAACUUGUUUAAGGUGAUCUGAAUAACUUGCCUACUAUGGACAAUGCAGCAAUCAAAAGAAAAUUUAAAAGUAAACGUCCUUCUGUAUAUGAUGCUUUUCUAACAAUGCUUCUUUUCAAUUGUUUAGUUUGGGGACCAUGAUGGAAUAGGUUCUGAAGUACUUCUUCAACAUCCACUCGGUGUCUUGUGUACAAAAGACGGUCAAAUCUAUAUCGCGGAUAGCUAUAAUCACAAGGUAGCUCGAUAACUAUUCUAAAAUGUAGCAUGUACUUUCGCACGUUUCAAUUUAUUUUACUAUUAUGAUUGCUUUUAGAAGUAUUAACUUGGUCUUUCUAUUUCCAAACUUCAGAUAAAAAAGUUAGAUCCAGCUAGUAAAAGAGUCAGUACCUUAGCAGGGACAGGGAAAGCUGGUUUCAAGGAUGGAACAGCUCUUGAAGCUCAGGUUGGCUAAUCAGUUGUGAACUUGUGAUUCUUUUAUUUGAGCAAUUUAGUAUACUAAUGAUGCAGGACGUUUGUUCACUAAAAAUUGCACAACUUACAUUCAAGUAUCAGGCUGAUUAAAUAUACUUGUCUCGGAAGUAUAUGAUUCAACACAUCACUAUAUUCUUGAAUCAUUUUACUGCAGAAUAAUUAUCCUGUUUGUUGUAUUGCCCUAUCACACUAAAGAAAAAGAAUGAACAGGUCAACGUAUUGAUUGAUCCUCCAUAUUAUCUCUUUGCAGCUUUCAGAGCCAUCAGGAAUCAUUGAAGCGAAAAAUGGUGAUGCUUUUUUUCUUUUUCUUUUUCUUUUUUUUAUAACAUAGAUAUGCCUUGAAUUUUUAGAUUCAUCUGUCAGACUACAUUCUCUUCUCUCUUUCAUUCAUGGAAAACGUAAAGUGAGAUAUCAAUGUAAAUCUUGCAACAAGAAUUUGAACCAAGUCUAUUUCUUUGUAGGGAGACUCUUCAUAGCCGAUACAAACAACAGUCUAAUCAGAUAUAUUGACUUAAGCAACAAAGAACCUGCCCUUCUUACUUUGGAGCUAAAAGGGGUUCAACCUCCCACAGUAAAAUCGAAGUCUUUGAAACGCCUCAGAAGGCGCUCAUCAGCUGACACACAGACCGUUACAGUUGAUGGUGGUUCAUCCAAUGAGGGCAACCUCUCUAUUAAAAUAUCAUUACCUGAAGAGUAUCAUUUUUCAAAGGUCCCUUUCCCUCUUCUAAUUCAAACCUCACAAGCUUGUUGAUUUCAACUCAGUGAUACUGUUCUCUAGUUAUUUUUAUCAUCUUACUUUCAAUUUGGCUACUGUACUUUGCUCUUUUCAGCAUUUGUCAGUUGUCAUGUGUAAAUUUUAAAUGCAGGAAGCUCGCAGUAAGUUUAGUGUUGAAACUGAGCCUGAAACUGCGGUUCUUGUUGAUCCCUCGGAGGGAUAUCUUAGUCCAGAAGGAUCAGCAGUACUUCAUUUUAGGAGACCCUCUCCCUCAGCUUCUGUGGGGAGAAUUAAUUGCAAGGUAUUGCUUCUCUUUCCCUACAAACUAAUCAGCUCUGCCAAAACAGAAUUGAAUUCUUGUGGUCUUUCUUUGUACCACUACUGUUAACUCACAUGCUUUUGUUGUACCUCUACUGUUAAACCACAGGCUUUUGUGAGGCCAGCAUACUAGCCUAUCCCUUGAAAAUCUGAUGGAUGAAAAAGAUUAGCACAUGAAAAGCUCAACAUAUGUUAUAUUGUGAUGUUUAAUGAAGUUGGCUUGUCUUUGCAGGUGUACUAUUGCAAAGAAGAUGAGGUAUGUUUAUACCAAUCCUUAUUAUUCGAGGUACCAUUUCAUGAGGAAGUUCCAGAAUCCAACCCAGAAGAAAUCACACUUUCCUACCUUGUAAAGCCCAGAACUUCAACAAACAGCUUACAGCUACCAGCUGCACGCUGACACGAUUACACAAACAUUUUGUAUAGAUCUUGUACUCCUCCAUGAAAAUAGGAAUACCAAACUACAUAUAGCUGUUAGAUACAAAACACUUGAUCGAGUUACACUAAGAUGGAGAGAUGAGUAUGGAUCAUUAUGCUUCUUCAUGUGAUAAACGUGAUCAUUUCAUGUUAAUUACUUCAUUUUUCAGAAUUUGUACCAACUUUUAUAAUGAAAAUCCAGUGGAACAUUGACUUGUAUACAAGGGAAAAUUGAUAGAGUUAAACCAGGGAGACAGGACAUAUCCAACAGGUCUGGCAGGUCCAACAGUAUCUUAACAAAUGACAAUGCGUUACACAUGCUCAAUCUUAUUCAAGAUUAGACCUUGAAUAGUUUGUGUCAUUGUCAUAUUCAUACUGCUUCAUUCUGCAAAUUAAACUAUACAAGUUACCAACUACCAAGUGAUGACUCUUAUUCUCUGGUGCGUACAAGACCCUCCCUUUCCUCGUGUGUUUUAUCCUUGGGAUUUUUCGUCGUAUUAUUAUAGCAAUUGCCACAGUAAUGUUGGGUAAAUCGUCCCUCUCUGUAUAGUGUAUACACAUCUUUUUCAUUAUGUACUUGAUCCUUAGACAAAACAACAGUAUAUGCAUUGUGGGCGGUUGGCAGUUGUUGAUGUGUGUUAAACUCGAAUGAAUUGUGACUGUUGAGGAGAUCGUUUUCCUAAACAUUCUCAGAGGUUGUUAAGUGUUAUUAUUAGCUUAAGAAACACCAUCAUUAUGACUCUUGGCAAACUUAAGGUGGGAAUUUCUUGUCAAGUCAAGCAAUUUUGCAUCUAACUCUGGUUAGGGCAUAUAGUCGUUCUUUCAACAAAACAACUAUCCGUUCUUUGUGAACGAUUGAUAAACGUUGAUGUGUGUUGAAAACUCGAACUAUAAUUCAUCAUGGAACUUGAACAAAUGGUUUCGGAGUCAAAUUCUUUUAGCAUUUAUGUUGUUGUUAAUUGCCAUUGGUAGUUGAAGAUUAAGCACCAUCAUUAAGGUUCUUGGCAUAAGCAAAGUGUGGAUUGCUCACUAAGUCACACACACUCGUGCGCACUUGUCUCCGUUUGAUCAAAUGAUGAAAGUGCAAUCACUUAUAUUAAGCAUUUAAGCUAAAGAAACCACAUUAGUCCCCCAUUGGUACCUGCAAAUUAAAAUAAUUAGUACAUUAAUUGGAACCAAUCUUUGACAAACUCUCAAGACUUGAUCAAAUCAUAUGAAUGGAACAUGUUUCCUAAACUUGUUUAAUCAAACUAAUCAAACCCUACGCGCACAGAGAUUAUAAUAUACAAGAUUGACAGCCUAAAACGUGCUUCUUCCACCAAAUCCCCUUCCCAGCAUUACAUUUCCCCCAUUUGUAGUGCAAUGCACUAUGUAACUGGCUCUCUGUGCAUGAACACAAAUUCAUGUGCAGCUGAAAAUCUCAUGCACUGGUUUAUCGAAAAAAGAUCGAAGCUAGCGCGCGCAGUUCUAGUUUCUAAGAAUCAAAUAGAGGAUUAAGUAUUUAGUUUGCUUCCAUAAUUAACCUAAUAAUUCAGAAACAACAUCCUCCGUGACAUAUGAAACAAAUUAAGGGAUGGGUUUCUUGUAAACCAAGGAUUAAUGUGAAGAAAACUAAUAAUAGAGCAAGGAUAUGACAAGUAUAUAUGGAAGAAUAAGAAAUUGAGGAAAACCCAUGACGGGGAGCAAGGCCGCACCAGAACCAAUCAAGUUCCUUGUCUUAUGCAAUGCAGUCACCUCGCAGGUCUUUCAUUUCAUGUUUUCAAGUUUCAGUUCAGUUAUUUGGUUCCAAUCAUAUAAUUUAGAUUUAGUUAGUGGGGAAACUCUAAAUGGCAUGGAACCCAUCUAAUUGGACAAUAUUUGCAAAUUGCAACUAUUUCAGAAGAAAGGAUAAGCAAUAGCAUAGUCAAUCUGGGGUUAAACAAUAUUACACUUUUGAUUCAAUCACCAAUGUAAACUAAAUCUUUUGUCUGGGAAAAUUACCAAAAGUUCAAGUGCGUGAUCAAGUACUUAGGUUUCUGAAGGAUCAAGAGGGUCUAAGUGUCUCAUAUAAAACUCUUAAUUAGUAAUCUUGAGUGUGUAAAUAAUUGCUGCUAAUGUUAAAGAUUAUCCAACUCUGGUCCAGGUGUUUUGCACUGAAUCAUAUACAGCAAAUUUUAAUUGAAAUCUGAUACAGAAGACUGUCUCACACUAGGAGACAAUCUCUCUGGCAUGUAAUUAGUAGUCCAAUAUCUUUCUUUAAUUUUUUCCAAUUUGCAAAGUCAGGCCCCCCUUAUGGGUUUAGUUAUAUUAAUCUGGAUUUGAGAUAACAUAAUCAAUCAAAGUGCUUGCCUUUAGUGACAAGCUUGCACAUGCCAGCCACUUUCAAAGUUUGAAACUACACUAUGUAAGAGCUGAAUUGCUUGACAAGAUUAUGAGUCAUAUAUAUGAGGGGAGCAAUUGUAGCAACACCAAGAACAAAAGGGCAGCAAACAACAAAAGCUAAAGGAGCAUGUUCAUGUUGGGUUGUGCUAAUUUUGAUUAAGAAAUAUAAUAGUGGGGGGAUUAGGAAGAGAAAAAUGGGUGAGGCAGGGUGGAUCAUACAGGGCCACAUCCUACAUUGAUCAGAAAACAACAAAACAGAGGCCCAGAUGAUAGAAAGUGCUAUGAAAACAACCACAUGCCUCUCUUUAAUUUUCUAUUUGGUGCAUCACCCACUAAUCAUUGCCUAGCUAGAAAACAAAAAAUUCCAUUGGUCCCAUGCCAGAACCAAUUAGUGCAAGGCACCACAUUUGAAAUUUUCUUAUAACUUAUUUCCACAUCAUCAAUCACCAGAAUUUUGUCAAAUUAGAAAGAUGGUAAAAAGUGAAUUAUCGGAACCCUAGCUAGCAACUAGAAUUCAAAGUAAAUUUAACAUCCUUGGAUAGCAGUUAAGCAUAAUGUAACAAGAAAUAAAUGACAUUGCAAAGUAAAUUAUCGAUGUAAACACUUUACUUAUUUACUUAUUUAUAAAGUUCUUGACCACCUUACGCAUAGGCAUAAAAAGUAUCCUAAAAAUAUUGAAAGAAAUCACAUGUUGUUCAUCAAACGCAAAAGCAAGCUUCAGCUUUCAUCAUCAUCAAAGAAAAAAAACUUAAGCUUUCUUUUCCUAAUCCUCCUAGGCAGCUUUUCCAACUUCAUAGCAACAACUUUAUGCCUGUUUUUUAAGAUUAGUGAAGAUGAGACGGUAAACUAGUGAAGGCUCGAACAUUAUAAAAACUAUUCAGAAAGAAGUAACCUUAAUCUCUUUUAAUACGGGAUCCGGCUUCUCCAAUCUUACAUGGAUGUAUAAAUGGUGAAGCAGUAGUACUGAUCAUUCUUCAUUCCCAACCCAUGAAGAAACUAAUUUAUUGUGUAUACGUAUAACGACAAAGUUCAAAGUUUUCUAGCCAACUAUAUAGAAAAACGAAAAGUGAGAUCGCAGAUUUAUAAGAAAAUAUUAACAUGGAUACCGACCUUGCAAGACAAGAAAUCAAGAAUCACGAUUAGACAGGGGCAUGUUGUUUUUCCUCUUUCUCCGGUGCCAACUUGUUCAUCGCACUGUGGGUUAGGCUUCAAUCUCUUCACUUUAUAAAUGUGUCUGGUAAAAAUGUCUAAGCACAAUGUGGCACGUUUGUAAUGGUCUUACUAAUAAUAUGUCAGGAGAGACAUGGAAAUGUUUCACCUGCCAGAGUGUGACGUGCAACUCGAAACAUUCAUAUCACCAAACACUAGCUUCCAAUGUCUCUUUGAACUAUGAUUAGGUUUCACCAAAUGACUGUUUAGUAGCGGCUUUGGUUGACCUAAUUCAUCUUUCAUUUCUUCGACCAUCUUUCAUUCUAUGAUUUUAGUGUUUAGAGUCACACCCAUUGACGAAUUCCGCAUAGAUUUUAACUAAAAUUGCACGUUAUCGGAUUCAUCAACGUAGACACAUUUACUUACAUAAAAUGAAAAUGAGGUGAAUUAGAAUAUUAGGAUACCUAUCAAAUCAGUAUUCAAAACCGAGAUCCACAAGAGUAUCCUAACAAAAGCUAGACACACGAACUUGAAACCUCUUCAAAACUUGUUGGCCACAAGCUGGUAGGAGUUGUAACUCAAACUGUUAACAUGGGGUUUCAUAGUAUGCAGCUCGAUCAACUUUACCACGAUUAUAAAUCGUAUAACUAACUUGUUGAUUUAUAGAUUAACGCAUUGAAGAUUAAUAAUAAAUAUGAGUAUCAUUUUCAUUAUUAUUGAAUGAAUUCUUACUAAAGAAUGGUAAUAACUUGUUUACUACUUAUACCUUUAUUAAUUAAUAUGGUCCAUGGAGCUAUGACUUCAACAAAUUUAGAGCACUUUUGUUUGUUUGAAACUUGAAACUAUGUAUAGCAGUAUAUAUAACUCAGUGAAUUAGGAAACAAAGGCUUGGCUAAACAUGAAUGAUGAGUCCUAAUGCCACGUAUGAAAUUAUUCGAAAUAAGAAUCGAGGAAAGAAAUAACAAAUGACUUGGCCAAAAAUGAAAAUGCAAUAUGGAUGAUAGAAAACACAUUUCUUAUUUUCUGAAUUAGGAUGAAAAAUAAAAUAAAAAAGAACUUUCUUGAGGGAAAAAGGAGCGGCAAUAAAUGUGACUAAGGAAUCGACGCGUGGUUCCCGUGGAUUGCUUUUAUACUCUUCGCUCUCUUCCCAUUUUCUCUCAAGUCUCAACCUCCUCCUCCUCCUCCUCCUCUUCUCUUCUCUUCUCUCUUCUCUCUUCUCUCGUCUUUGCUCUCUUCUCUCUUCUCUCUUCUCUCCCUCUCAAACUCUCAACUGAAAAACCUCCAACAAUCUCAAACCUUCUUCACCACUUCUUGCUUUACUCAUUGAAGGUAUGAAUACAAUCUCAUAGAUAUACAUGUUUGUACUAUUAUAUGUUUUUCUUGUAUAUAUAUAUAUAUGCAUGUUCAUCUUGCUUUCAUCGAAAUAACGAUCAUUUCUAACAGUUGUAAUUUACAGGUUUCAGAGUACGUUGUUGUAUCUGUUGAAUUACACAAGCUAGUUCAUGGCGCCCUCGUUUGUCUCGAACCCCGACGCCAGUCUUGACUCGAGUCGCAAGAAACGUCGAAAGCUCAAGGAUGAUCAGAACCCUUCUGCAACUACUCAAUUGAGAUGGAGAUCCGAUAACGAGCAACGGAUCUAUUCAACUAAGCUGGUCGAGGCUCUCCAGAAGGUUCGCCAGGGACCAUCCUCAUCGCCGACGGCUGCCGUCUCCGGCGGGAAAACAGUGAAGGAAGCAGCUGACAGGGUUCUGGCCUUGGCGGCGAGAGGCACGACCCGGUGGAGCAGAGCGAUUCUGACGAGUCGACUCAGGAUGAGAAAGAGGCUUCAGAAGCGUAAGAAGGCGACGGUGAGCGGGAAUAGCCGGUGUAGGAGGGCGGAGGUGAGGAGGAUGAGGAUGCCGGCUGUGCAGAGGAAAGUUAAGAUUCUUAGCCGGUUGGUUCCCGGUUGCCGGAAGGCUCCGUUUCCGAACCUUCUAGAAGAAACAACCGAUUACAUAGCGGCGCUGCAGAUGCAGGUUCGAGCUAUGACGGUUCUGACGGAACUUCUUUCCGGUGCUCCUCCGGCGGCUAGUCGUCUCAACUCCGCGAGUUGACACUAUUGAAUAAUAGGCCAGCCACCCGGCUUAUUGUGCCAGGUGUUUUUUUUUUUUUGGUUUUUGGAGGGGGGGGCUUAUGUAAUUCCUAUAAAUAUUCUAUAUUUAUGAAAUUUUUAAUUCGUGUAUCUUAUUGUGUAUAGUAGGCUUUACUUUCUUCUGAGCUCCGCCAUCAUUUUCUUUUUCUUUAUUUUUGAUAGUUAGUUUAUUGGAUUGAUUGAAUAUGCCACCUAAUUGAUUCUCAAUCUUCAUUUAUCCAACCAGCAAAGUAUAUUUUGUGUAUGUUUAUAUUUUGUGUUUGAACUUUGAACUUUGAAGCUAGCCAGUUUGAACAAAGACCUACCAUACAGUUCUUCUACAACUACAAAAAUGCAUUUUUCUAAUCGACAUAACACGUCAUAAAUUAACGUAAAAAUAAUAUAUUAAAAUUUCAUCAUGAUAAAAUUCGAGGAGAGAAAAAUACCACAUGCGUGCAUGUUCACAAAGCACAAACUCCUUACCACACAAUUUAUUAGGUAUAUUUCUUAAUUUUUUCUUAUCGACCGGCAUUCGAAUGAGAUUUUACUAAAUUUGAAUGAUAAAUCUAACUAUUAUUUCAAGGGUCAAUUUUGUUGAAGUGGGUCAAAGGAUUGAUUAAGCUAACAAAUUUGUAAAAAGCAAAAAGCAAAACAUAACAUGAUUCACUCCAAUAUACUUAAUUAACACAAGUUAGUUAUCGAUAGUUGAUGUUUGUUGAUGAAAUAAACUAUCUUUGUUACGUUACUACGCACAAAUUGUAUGAUAAAAGUGGAGCGUCAUUAAUAUGUAAGUUCUAAAAUCGUCGUAUGUGAAGAUCGAAUGAAAAUUAAAUACUCUAAAUUCUUUCAUUUCAUUUUCAUUUUUGAUCCGAUAAAAAAAAACCUCAUAAUAUGAAUACCUCUUAUUCGACCUCAAAUCCUUACCUCAUGUGUUAAAAACACUUAGGACUAUUUUUUUUGUUUCAAUUUUGUUAACAGUAUUAGAAUAUAUGCAUGAUAUGCGACGUGGAUGACCGAAUCAAAAUAUUACAUAUUAGUUGCUCGGUUCACUUGCACCUUAGUGCAUAAAAGAAUUUUCGUGAUAAAGAAUAUAUUUAUCUUCAUUUCAUGAUGAACACAAAGAAGAGAUCGAGAUAUUUAGGUGUGUGGUGGCAAGUACGUCGAACAAAAUUAAAGUUUCCGUGUGAAACAACAACCAUAAUCCAAAGUGAUUAGUCACCUAAGCGUGAGAUAAAGACUGAUGAUGAUGAUUACGUUUCCAUUCUCUAGCCAGAAAACGUCUCUUCCUAUAGAGAUACUGUCAUAGCUUAAAUGGGGUGAUUGAUCCCCUUGAUCAGAAAAAUUGAGUGAUUCACAUGCAUCUAAUUCCAUUAGCCAGACCUUAAUCAUGUAAUUAGCCAAAUCAAUCAUUAAUUAUCAAAUAAACAUAGGCAGCCGGGGUACACUACUGUGAGCUAGGAGGCAGUGGCUUUGGAUAUUUAUGAGAUACGAGAUCGCGAAGAAGAAGGAGGUGGUCGGGAAAUUCUACAAAAACAAAAAAACGAAAACAUUUGGAAAUUUUAGGAAAGAGUUGCACAUCAUGUGGCUCAGCGACCCUACAAAAUUUCAAGUGCACGUACUCAGUGACCCUCUAAAACCCUCCCUUUUUCCCCAAAGGCUGUUUGCAUUUCCAUGUGCCCGGCCUCUAGACCCAAAAGAACACCAUCCCCUCACAUGGUGCCCUAUUUCCAGCAAAUGGGAUAUGCCAGAAAACCUAGCUAGCAUUUCAUAAAAACCGAUCGGUCACUGUAAUGCUAUAGCUUGUUUGGUUGUGAGAAUAAACUCGUACACUUAUAUCAAACAAAACCAAACCCUACGUACCAUCGUGUGUCGUUAGCUCUGGGAAGCUAGCUAGCCAAUCUGGCCACGGCAGUUACCUAGUUGUUACAUUAUAAACGGUGACGGAUAGACAGAUCGAUGCUCGAAUGCCCUAGUGGGAUUGUCGAUCAUCUCAUAUCCCUAUCUAUUAACUAUAACUAUCAAAAAGGGUUAUUCAUAAUUUGAUGGUCGAAUCGAUCGAGGACCACAAAUACACCAUUGCUUGGUGUUUUGUAGGCUUUAAUGUCCCAAGCCCUAAGAAUCAAUCGAUCUCCCAUUCUAUUUGUGUGCUAUGUUUUUUCUUUUUUUUUCUCUCUCUUUUCGUUUUGGUUUGUGCAUUUUCAAACACUCCAUACAUCACAUGCAACCAUGUGGACUCUUCAAUUCCUGAUGAACACAUCUGUUUCUUUGGUUUUUUUUCUAGCUUUAUUGUUGUUGUUGAAUUUAUGGCACACAUGAACUUUAUGUGUGUGCAUGGUGGCCUACAUUGUGUUAUAAUUAUUGUAGGGCUUGCUGGUUUGGACUUGCUUAAGCUCCAAAACAUGCCCUAAAAUGAUGAGGCAAUCUUUUGGCUUAUACUUUAGGGCAUUGCCAGGGUGAGAUUUUGAGUCUUGUGCCAUGGAUUUAGAGCUUGAUUUUGACUGGAUAGUACGAAUAGGAUCAGCAGUUGGUGCUUAAUUAGGGUCGAUUCUUCUAGGAUUCGGAUAAUCCAUUAUGAAGGUUGGAUAGGUAGUACCUAAAACUAAAAUGGCGGUUCAUUUAGUAUUAUUCUUACAAAUCUUUGUAAUAAAGGGUCGAAGUUUAGAACAUAAUUAAGAGUUUCAGUAACAGAUCGAUGUAUUUAGAGAUUUUAAAUACUUGUCAUGUUUUUUUCGGAUUGAUUGUUCUAAGAUUUGAAAAUUGCAAAAUUGUGGAUUCAAAGUAGGUUUCGACUUACCAACGAAGCUCAAAACAUGACAGAGCAUCAAUCAGUUUUAUACUUAUGAUUGGAGAUUAGUACUGUAAGAGUAAGGAGGGUUUUAAUAGCUUCUUGGUUAUUCUUGUUAGCGAGGGUUUAUGUAGAGGAAGAUCAACUGAGCUGCAGCUCGUACCUAGAGAAUGAUAUCAGAGCUUCCUAGCUUCUAACUCUGUAAUUAAUGUGUAUAUAUCGUACGGAUGUUUUCCUCCAAUAUAUAGCUAGUGUAAGAAUCCGAUUCCGAUGAAUGUGAGUGAAUAGUUAUGAAAAUGAGUUAUAUAUAUACGGAAAAUUCUAAUAUAUCAUAUGGUAUAACAUGUAUCAUAAAAUUUAUGGCUAUCAUUGAUUGAAUAAACAACUAAAUAACCAUGUAAUGACCAUUUACCUCUUCAAAAGCUCUCAUAUGUCAUACAAUUAGACACAUUUGCAAUAGGUAUGUCAUACCAUAUGGUAUGAUAAACAAACUCAUAUACAUACAGUAUACAACAACGUAAUCGUGACACACGAAUGAGUUAUAGGUAGUGAAUUCAUUUUUCACUUUCUCUUGAAAAUGCCUGGACCAAUAUAUUGAAUUAUUGACAAUAGUACCGAGUUUUAGGUCUUCUAAUUACUUUUCUUCACGUACAUUCACCCAUGAUUUGGACCAUUUUGAUCCAAUUCAUAUGCAUGUGAAUGAGUUGUUUGUGUCUCUCUAUGUUCAUGUAAGAAUGCUUGGACCAGUUUAUUGAUAGCCUUUCGACGUUUUAUACCUAAGAAGGAAUAAGUUCCUACUCACUAUAAGUACUAUGUACGUAAAUGAUAAAAAGCUUAACUCCAUGACAACCUCUACAUUGAUUGUGCUCGCUGGCUUGAUUUUGAUCGUGGAGGAAUAUACUUCUUUUUAAACUUUGUGUUGCAAAAAUAUUACGAGUUCAUUAGAUGUUCUGUUUUGUUCGAUUUGGUAAAAAUUACUCAGAUAUUCAUCGAAAGUCUAUCGUUGAUAUACAUUAUUGACUUAUCUCUAAGUGGGUGAGCUUAUUGUCGAGGCGAAUAAUCUAUCGACGCACAAGGACAUGGAAUAUUGCCCCUACCCAGCUACCCUUUGCUCGAAUUAUAUGAAGUUAUGAACAUCGUUGUACAAGAUAGAUAGCCAUCUGAGUUUGGAAUAGUCUUCAUGCACCAAUAAUGGUCCCCGGAAACUUUGGCUUUAGGGUUAAGAUUUAUGAGUUAGAGAGCGAUGCUACGGCACAAAAGCUUGGAAUUCACAUUGGCUUUUCCAUUGAAAUCGCAACACCUGUUCUAAGUUCCAACUGAUCAUGCAUGCAAUCUGUAGUUUUCUUGAGAGGUACCUGAUUCCGAAAGAUGACAAUUAGCGCGGCAUGCCACUCUUUGCUAGCUUCCAAACGACAUGUCAAGGUCGUAUUGGAGCAUCGGAGACCAAUACCAUCAGAGAUAAUUGUUAUUUCUGCAGCAUUAUUCUUAUUUCUACUCGAUGAUCUUAUAUAUGCUCUCUGCAUCAUAUCAUCAUGAAUUGCUCAUAUAAUUGAACACCAUCUACAACCCUAGAACAGAGUUAGCUAGCUUUGAUUAUAUAUGUGAACUAUGUGCUCACACAGUCACACCAUAUGAUGCAUCUUUUUCUUUUUUUCUGAUCAUAUAUGAUGGGUUAUGUUUGUGCUGUAUCUGACAAAGCUGAAGAACCAUAUCCCUAUAAUUGCAAGGGCUUUCACAUAUUUGUGAUAGCUCGCACAUGAGCUAGGGUUCCAAGUACGUCUAAGGUCAUGUCGCUUCAAAGUUCAGUAUAAGCUUUUCUUUCGUUUAAUAAUUUACACUCAUUUUCCCAAGAAUCGCAUGCAAUACAAUAGUACUUUGUUGUGUCACGUACAUGCGUGAGAUGACAAGAUGUCUUUCUUUCCUAAUGUACCUGUAUUUUAUGUAUAAUAAUUAUACAUUCCUUCUUAGUUAAAACGAAUCUUUUCUAAAACUGUACGCUUAAUGUUAAAUGUAAUGAGAAUCGUUGGAUUAGUAGUCGAUUGAACGAGAACUUCGUUUAGGUAAAGCCUUCAAUCAUCAUAAGAAUUGUUAUGGACUAAUUAACACCAUGGAAGAACGUACUCUAUCUAAGCCUGAACUAAUUGAGGGUUGCAAAAUUAGCAGUAAGCGACGAAAGAGAAGGGAUGGGAAGCACUUUUGAGUUGUCAAAGUCGAACAACCAUCCCCAAUAAAGGAGCUAGCCAACAACAAUGGUCUCACUUGGCAUCGGACCCAGAUCGACAAUACAGAUGGGUAUAACAUGACAAAACACAAAAAUGUGCGCAAAGCAACACAUUGGUGAACUUGUGGUUCUAUUCCAAGAGAUAAUUCGCAACUCGUGGCACAACCUAUGAGCACACACACGCUUAUUAUAAAUCUCUCUCUGACAAUCGACCAAAGUUUUUGUUGUGUUUUGUUGUACGUGGAUCCUCGUUGGCUAAAGAAAACGACCCCGACGUCCUUGCUGCUGCAGCAUACACAGUGCUCUCUGCUUCUUCACUACUUGUUUUUUUGCGACCAUUAUUGAUCGUUAUUAGUUGGUUUGAUCUUGGUUGGCUAAUCGUACAGGGUCUUAAUCCUAGAGGCUUAUAUUCUUAUUGUUGUUAUACUAUUGUGAUUAUGGUUAUGCUCGACGUACACUGUGGAUAGAUAUAUUAAAGACAAACCUCAUAACAAACCCUAAAACACAGCUUGAAGUGAGAAAAUGGACCGUUUUUAAAUUAAUGGAAGGUAAUAUGAAUAGUUAUGAACUCAUGCAAGGCUCUCGUUAAUAGACUGGCAAUAAUUGAGCAAGAAAUAAGUCGGGUGGAAAAUGGAAACUUCAAACCACAUAUCAGUAACUAAGCAUAAUGGCACAAAACUUCGAAGCCCAACAAGAUGAGCUUAACCCAUUCUCAUUUCAUCAAACCGGUCAAGCCCGAACUAUAUGCAUGCAUUUAGGUCGAUUAGAUACUACUCAUGAAGGUAGUUCCUCAUACAAUUCAGUCCUCUACCUCCAGCUACAUGUAUUUUCUGCACACGGCGUUUGUGAUUAUUCUACCUUCUGUUCUACAUAUCAUUGAAUUAGUAUGGUCAAUAUACUACAAAAGAGGGAAAUCUGAUCAAUUCGCUGCUCAGAAAACUUCUCAAAAUUGCUCUUCAUGCACCAAUGUUAAGUUGAAUUUUAAUUAUCAGGAGAAAAUAAUGUAUUAAGAUAGGAUAACAAGUUACGACAUAGCACAACUACUCGUAUAGUGAACCGUUUGAACCAUCUGUUCAUGUAUUUCAUCAAGGCUGUACCUAAAAUUUGGAGACCUGAGGCGAAUUCAGAAAAUGGUGCCUUUUAAUGGUAUAUAAGAAAAAAAAAUCGACAACGACAACUAUACUAUAUUGUGCCACAAGGCUAUCGUGUCACUUGGCUAUCUAAACACGGUACAUAAAAAAGAAAAAUAAUAAUGUUCUAACAUAAUAUUAUAUCAUGUAUUAACAUCUUUACCAAAUUCUUAUAAAUAUGAAGUGAUGUCUCUAUGUAAAUUUCACGAAAGGUGGACUUGCUCUCACCUCUAAAAAUUGUUCAACCCUCUCGACUAGCUUCGACCAUAUUCUUUUUAUAGUAAUAAUUAAUUAUUGCAUGUACAAUAAUUAUGGGAGAUGUGACACUUCUGUUUAGGAAGAAAAAAAAAGUUCACAAUACCAACAUGAAUUAUUAAAUUACCAAAAAAAAUGCAUGAACACACGCGGCAGGUGUUUAAACGGUGAGGAACUAUGAUGUUGUCUCAUGUGAUGGGCUUUGCUAACCGAAAAAAUGAAAAAUUUGUGCCUCCUAAAAUUUUGGGCCUGAGGCGGUUGCCUCUUGGGCCUCUCCUCAGGUCUGGCCCUGUAUUUUAUAUCUUGGAAAAGAAGACAGAACAAAAUCCCCAUAUUUCAAAGCUUUAAGGCACCAUUAUACAAAUGAAGAGAAAGCCUUGACCUUUAAAAUAAGACAAAAUAAAAGAAUAUGGAGUUCAAAUUAAGGCUUCUAUUGGUUAUUUAGCUUGGAACUGGAAAUAAAUUGAUCGUAGAAAGCUAAACCUUUCAAGAUCUAUCGCCGGGGAAGAAGAAGAUCUGAGAUUGGGGUGAUUGUGAAUGAUUGUAAGUGUUGUAAAAAUGUAUGGACGGAAUUCAUGUAACAUUAAAACAUAAAACAUUAUGGUAAUAUCUUGGAAAUAACAAAUUAAAAUAAAUUUUAAUUUAAAUCAUAAAAUUUCAACAAGUGUUAUUUAUAAGCAUUGGACUCUAUUUCUCUUAAACAUGUCUUUCGUUAAGCAAAUAGUGUCGCGACCCCUAGUACAUGUGAUUUUCUCCCGAGAAUCUCCAUCACUUGCCCUCACCAACACUGGCGGCCACCAGAGAAUCUCCACCGUCUGCAUCACAUAAAUUGGUGGGUUGAUUUAUUUUUUAGGUUAGUCGCAAAACUCGAUCAUGAGCAUAUAUUAUUACUCAUGAAACUUCUUUUUUUGUUUGGAUAAAAGAGCGAUUGAGCAUUGCUUAUUUACUUGAUCAUGAUAGAUGUAUGUUAAGUUGUUAACUAAGGGCCCCUGAAGGGAUGCACAAAAAACUUAUCGACUUCGAACUUCCUAGCUAAUAUCAAAUAAAUGAAAUUAUCCCAAACGGCUCUUGACUCUUCAGUCUUUGGACUGGAUUCAUAUAAUCAUCUAAAAUCAAUGUGGUUAAUAAUUCCUAGCAAAAUCAUCUGAACACCAUGUUAUUAAAUCCAACAAAUUCACCAAAUUUGCCUAGGGCUGUUUAUAUGUUGUAUGCAUGCGCCUUUCUCAGCAGUCUUGCCAGGUCUUUCCAUUCGAAUAGGAAAGAUAUCAUUCCACAAUGAUCCCUACCUAUUUCCUGUCAAAGUUGCGUCCGUACGAAGUUCAAGUUCAUGGUGUCAAAGUGAAGGCAACUGUGGUGGCCAAUAAUGUUAGCUUCCUUGAGCAAAAGCUCUCUGAAUUAAGUAGCAAGCGCGUUGUGGGAGUUGAUGUGAAGUUUCAAAGCAGAGUGGCCUCAUUGUUGCUGCUCUGCGUUGAGGGUCAUUGCUUGAUCAUCCCAAUUCGUGCACCUUUCUCUACUGUGUUUAACCCAAAAAAAGUUUCUGAUUCUGGACUCGGACGGCUUCUUGCUGACCAGAAUAUUUGUUUUGUGUACUCGAAAUUUAAGAGCGAAGAUGCUACCUCCUAUGCAGGAUUGCCGGAAAUGAUGAAGCAGACAGGUAUAGAAGUGGAUCAUCUGGCGGCUACCAUAUUGAAGAAACCGACUCUCCUCAGAAAAGGGCUCUAUGAGUUGGGACGUGAAGUUGGUAUUGACAUCAAAUCAGCUUAUUAUGUACAAUACAUAAAUUGGUCGGAUGUCAAAGUUUUCUCAGAGGAAGAGAUCAAGUAUGCAAUUCACGAUGUCUAUGCUACAUUCCUUAUUGGGAACAAACUUUUGGGGACGCUUGCAUCUUGAUUAGUAUUGGCGUCUAAAACAAUGUUGCAGUACUGUGUUUUGCAAUGAUAAAUUUUUCUGUUUCUCCAAUAAUGAGGGAGCCUUUUCCUCAAUCCUCAAAGUUAAAAAUGUUAUCAGUUUUAUUAUGUACUACUUUUACUUCUCUAGUACUGUCUGAACAGUGUGACUUCUUCUAAGAAAAUUUUUCAGUUAUAGAUUGGAAAAACGAAAAUAUAAAAGUUAAACGCACGAAACUUCAAAGCCCAAUUACAAUCAAAAUAAAUUAAACCCAUUCUCAAUUCAACAAAACCGUCAAAAGCCCAAGCUAAGGUUUGAUACCAAUCAUAGUAUCAUACCAUAUAUCUGUAUUUUCUGCACACGACGUUUGUGAUUGUUCUGUUCUUCAUGUCAUUGAAUUAGUAUGGUUAACAUACUACAAUAACUACAAUAACUAGUAAUCUAGAGGGGAAUCUGUUCGAUCAAUUCGCUUCCCAGAAACUUCUUAAUUCAAGCGUCUCUUGCACCAGUGUUAAGUUGAAUAUUAAUCAGGAAAUGUUUUAAUCAUUUGAUCUACUAAUCUUGCAUGUAUGUAAAGAAUAUUAGUGUAUUAAGGUACGAUAACAAGUUACAACAUGACACAACUACUCAUAUAGUGAAUCAAUUGAACCAAGUGUUUGUGUCUUCCAUAUCUUGAAAAAGAAGAGAUAAUAAAUCAACUAAACGAAGAUGACACCUUAACCUUUGUAAUAAAACAAGAUAAAAGUGUAUUGAGUUCAAAUCUUCUUUGAGUUUUUAGGCUUGGAAUUGGAAAGAAAGAGGAAAGAAAUCACUGAAAUCACUCGCACAUUGAGAGCCAAACCUUUCAAGAUUUCAUCGAUGUUACCAAAGAACAAGAAUCAAGGCAGCACAUUAAAACUAGUAUAUGUUUGAGAGGCAAGUAAACCAUGGUUUUGUUGAAAUAUAUCAAAGAAACUUGAAUUGAUGAACAACUGUCGUUGCCAAUGUCCACCUAGCUAGGUAUAGAUUCAUGGUAUAUCAAAUAUGCCGUUUAAUUCAAGAAAAUUAUAUAGUAUAUAUUUUCUAUAUUUGGCAGCUAUGAUACUGAAGAAACCGAGUCCGGAAAAGAAAGGGCUAUGUGAGUUGGGAGGUGAAAUUGGUAUUGAUAUCAAACAAGUGACUGGAACUUGUCCAGCUGACUGGAUGGCCGAUACCUUUUCAGAGGAGGAGAUCAAGUAUGAAAUUCAUGAUGUUUAUGCUUCAUAUCUUAUCGGGGACAAGCUAGUGGGGAUGCUUUGAUUUCAUGCAACUUUGAUUUACUUGCUAAUUGUUAGCAAAGCAGAUUUUUGAUUUGUACAACUCAUUUCGCAAUGAAACACAGAUCUUUUGAAAGAAUUACGAUGCCUAUAAUUUGGUUGGGAUUUUACUUUAGUUUGUGAAAAAACAGCACACGAAGGAUUAUGUAUAGUACUGCGCAUAUAUACACAUCAAUUUCAUUGUCUAGCUAGGGUUUAGGGUUUAGUGAUAUCAAUUUUUCUCUUUUGGCCCUAGAAGAACGAUACCAAGAAGUACGUCUCAUAUUCCUAUGCAAAUCUGAUUCUAUACAUACCUAUACGUACCAUAUAGAUUUGUUUCUUCAUUCUUCAUUUGAAUCAUUAUAUUUGAUUGAAAGUAUCGUCUCAACUACUUAUGUCUCUAGCUAUGUAUGUUCCGAGGGGCCGUAAUCCCGGCUACUUACAUUUGGAUGUUUCAAGUUUGGAUAGUUUCUCAGUUCGGUAUAUCUUUUCUUCACAAGAUCGAUCGAGUCGGAAAAUUAAGAAAAUUGUGCAGAAAGUAGGUUAGUUUUUUCUUCAAGUUAUAUCAACUGAAAAUUUCAAGUUCUAUCACUAAUGGUACGACUACGAAACAUGACAAGUUGAUCGAAUGAAUGAUGGGGAGAAGUUGGUCGGGAUGUUCAUAUUUUUCCCCAUGAACGCCUUACGACAAGUUGAAGUAUAUGACUCUAAAAUGGUUUGAUACAUUGAGAGAAGCCAUGCAUAGAAGCUCGAUCUCGACUCCAAUGGAAUGUAAUCAUGUUGUAUCUUAUCAACUCGAUCUAUUUUUGUUUCAAACCUUAAGCUGAUCAUUUUUAGAGUACAAUUUUUAGAACAUGUCCCAAUUCAUAAAGCACCAAAAAUUUGAAUAAUUUUUUUAUAUUUUCUUUUUAUUUUAUGAAUUAUAUAGUUUGAUGACUUUGAAGAAUCAUAUGGACGCCCCGUAAAUUUUACCAAGGUAGCUUAUUUUGGCACCAUAGGGGAAUGCGAGAAGUUGAUCAAUUAUGGAAUAAUCAAAUACAUUGUCACUGAUAUAGGACUUUCGACCUUCCAUGUACUCUGCAAUUACUAUGUACUACGUACUUGACUGAUGGAUUCAUAUAAUCAUCCAAAUUCAUGUGACCAACUCCCAAGUCUCAAAAAUGAAGCAAUAAAUUUACAUGACUAUAAAUGAACAUAUAUGUAUUCCUCGGUGUGUCUUUCUCACUUGUUGUCAUUUCAAGAUUACUUGGGAUACCAUUUUCAGUUUUUCACAAUGAUACCUUACCAUCUUCUGUCAAAAAUGCGUCCUUACGAAGUUGAAGUUCAUGGUGUCAAAGUAAAAGUAAGCGUCGUGGCGGAUAACGAUCGUUUGAUCAACGAGAAAAUAUCUGAAUUCAAGAAGCUCGAUAAGAAGAAUGUUGUGGGAGUUGAUGUUAAGACUACAUACAAUGCUUCCCUACUACUUUUUUGUGUUGAAGGUCAUUGCCUGAUCCUCGCUCGUAUAAAGGAUGCUCAUAAAUUUGAAGUUUGGAAGCUUCUUUCUGACCAGAAUACUUGUUUUGUGGGUUCAAAUUUUGAACACAUGAAACAUUGUUCUUACAGUGGUAAAGAAAUAUUUGAAAAGGUAGGUGGAAUAGGUGUUGAAUUGGAUCGUUUGGCUGCUAUGAUACUAAAGAAACCAAGUCUGAAAAAGAAAGGGGUGUAUGAGUUGGCAGGUGAAAUCGGUCUUCAUGUCAAGCCAGUGACCGGAACUUGUCCUAAAUGGGAUGCCAAAGUGUUUUCAGAGGAAGAGAUCAAGUAUGCAAUACAUGAUGUUUAUGCUUUCUAUCUUAUUGGGGAGAAGUUGUUGUUGGGGAUGCUUUAGUUUUAGGACUCCGAUCUUGUUUUUAUUUGUUCGCAAAGGCUAAAGGGACUCCAUAUGUACGCACUUCUUAUUUUGCAAUAAUAAUACAGAUCUAUCUUUUGAUAUUAAUUCUUUUGAUACGUUUUUCUUUAACAUCCAUUUACACUUGAAGAACAUACAAGUUCUGUAAUCUACAAAUAUCUCUUGUGUUGGAGAACAAGUUGUAGCUAAAUAUCAUAUACGAUCGUCCUGCAUGUCCCAAAAGUCCAAAACCAUGGAUGGACAUGCAUGCUUCAAAUCUCAAUCAAUACUUCAUUCUUACAUUCAUAGACUCAUGUAUAACAUACAAAAUAAUUACUAUUUAAUAUUUAUUGAUAACUAUAUUUGAUACGUCUUUGUGUUGGCAAGGUUGAUGAUCGAACGUACUCGAUCCAUGAGAAUGGAAUUGCCACAAUAAUAUUAGAGACUUUCUAAUAUGCUAGUGAUGAUUAGUAUUCAUACACUUGAUUUUGUUAUUCAUAUAACUUAUUUAUUUUUAGUAGUAUAAUUCACUUUAGUACUAAAAAUAUGGUGAUGUUAUUAACACACCUAUCUAUAGGGUGGUGUUAUUAACACACUUUAUCUAUGAAGAUAGCUAAUCAUGCAACAAAUUUAAGUGACAAGUUUGUUAAUAAAUUUGAAACAUGUGGAUAGAAAAAAAUAUGGGGUGUGUUAAUAACAAAAAGAGGUGUGUUUGGUAUUGUGGUUUAAAAACUCAAUUUUUAAAAAACUUAGUUUUAAAUAAGUAAACUUCAACCUGUUUUUUAAAAUCGUGGUUAUUUAAACUAAAAAGGGAAAUAGAUCUGAUAAGAGAACGUAGGACCCUAGAGAGAGCAGCCCUUUCGUCAAAACCCAAAGAGAGAACUCCUCUCAAACCCUAGCACAGCCGCGAUCUACUUUCUCCUCUCUCAAUCAUUAUCGUCAUCAUGUCCUCCAUUGACACAGUCACAGCGUCCUUCGCCGCUUCCUUGGCUUUGGCCGACGGCGAAAAAGCGCCAGAUUUGGGGAAGAUUGGAGGAGGUCCUGUGAGACAUUCAUCCCAGUCUUUUCUUCUUGCUAAGCCACUCACACGCCGUGUUAUGGAUCCAGAAGCUUUCAAGUCGCAUUUUGCCCGUGCUUGGGUGGUGCAGCGGAAUUUUCGAAUUCAGGAGAGGGGUGAUCUCUUCCUCGUCUCAUUUGAAUCUGAGAAGGAUCGAACAAAAGUUCUGAAGGGUGGCGCAUGGUGUUUUGACCGUGCACCGGUUUGUCUUGAGAUGUAUGAUGGGAUUACUCCUAUGACCGACGUUCCUAUGCGUCAUGUGAGGAUGUGGGUGAUCGUCUCUUUGAUCCCACCUUGGUACGAGGAGCCGGAUAACCUUCGUUUGAUUGGAAACCUUCUUGGAGGAUACUUGGAUUAUGAUCGUACCGAGUUUCGAAAGGGAGUGAUGAAGAUCUUAUUUACCCACGAAAUCCAUAAACCACUCCUUUUGGAAAGGUAGGUUCAUCUUGAUCCAGGGGUGGAGUUGAUGUUACAGUUUAAUUUUUUACAUCUUCUGGGUAGAUGCUCUGUUUGCAAUAUGAUCACACAUGCUGGAGAAAAGUGUGAUGGAACUCAUACUGGCUCGGGUACAUCCAGAAGCAUUAAUUUUGGUGCUCAACUAAAACCAGGUUAUGCAUUUUCGGCAAAGCCCACAACUGGUGUGGCUAUCAAUCCAGCGCCGGUGGUUUCCUCGACUCCGGUAGUGAAGAGAAAGCCGGCCUGUGGUACGUUGAUUGCAGCGUACUGAAACUUCAAGAAAUGAUGAAUUUGGUCUUCGGUGUAUGGGCUCUUCUUCAGGGUUUGGUAAUUCUACUCUUGAGAUUGAGGUUGCCUUUGAUUUAGAGACCUCUCCUAUUGUGUUAGAAGCUGCUGUUGGGAAGGAUGCAGUAUUGUCUACUACUCCCUCAAAGAAACGAGGAUGUAAUGGGGGUUGUUCUCCCUCCCUGAAGAAAAUCAAGACUAUUCUGGGCGGUAAACUUCUCAAACAUCAAGCUGAAUCUUUGGGUUUGGUCGACAUAGGUGGGGAUGAUGCGCCUCUUGUGACCCUGAAGAAGAAGAAGUUGGGUUGUCGUCUGGGUAGCAGAAAUAAGGUAUCUCGGUCUACCAAGAAGACAAAGGCUCCUCUGCGUAUUACUUACCCGAUUGCUGCCAAGGUGGGUGACAAGGCAAGCCCUAAUGCCAAGGGCAAGGGCAAGGGCAAGACUUAGAAUUCGAGUUGCCCUUAGCCCGAGUAUCAGAGGUAGAUUUACUACUUAUUUCCUAAGCUUAUUAGGUGUACACCAAUUAAGAUCUUACGCAGCUAAUAUUAAUUCUGUUUCAGGGAUUUAGGUAGCGAGUUUUAAUUCUUUUGCUUUGGGCUCUUUUGGAGCCUAUGUAUGUGUAAUCAGUAAAGGUAUCUGUCUUGGUGCUUGUAAGCCUCCGUUAACAUACUCUGUGGAUGACGGCAUUUUGAUGUACGUGUUUUUUGGCUAUUGAUUAAGCAAUAUAAGUUAUCCUUAAAAAAAUAAAAAAAAUAAAAAGUGUUAGAUAAGCAGUUUUAAGAUAAACCAAACAAAAAAUCUGUUCAAAAUAAUGAUUAUAAAUGAUUUUAAUUCCUAAAAUUCAAUAUUUACAGGCUGGUGACUUUUCGACUUUCAACUUCAAAAUCUCUCAACUUCUCUCUAAUAUGAUGGACUGAUCAUCGAUCCAAAUUCAUGUGAGUAACUCCCAACAAGUAACCUAGACACCAAGUAAAUUAAACCCAAUAAAUUACCAAAUUUAAUUGGCGUAUAUGGCUAUAAAAGAACGUCCUCCUCAGUCUGCCUUUCUCACCAAAAGAAAUACCAUCUCACAAUGAUACCUUACCAGUUUCUGUCAAAAAUGCGUCCUUAUGCAGUUGAAGUUCAUGGUGUCAAAGUAAAUGUAAGUGUCGUGGCGGAAGACGAUCGGUUGAUAGUAGAAAAACUACGUGAAUUAAGGACGUUGCUCAAACGGGGCGUUGUGGGAGUUGAUAUUAAGAUGAUGAGAGACAAGGUUCCUUCAGUGUUGCUUCUUUGUGUUGAAGGUCAUUGCCUGAUCAUCCCUAUGUUUUUUUGUUGGCUCAUUUCAAGUCGUCCAAAACAGGUUCCUGAAACUGAACUCAAACAGCUCCUUUCUGAUCGGACUAUUUGUUUUGUGGCUCCAAACUUGGGAAGGUUAAAAGAGAUGACUGAUCGUCUUUACAGUGCUUUUCCUUAUGAUGGAGCUUUGUCACUAAAUAUAGUGAAUACAGUUGUGGAACUGCCUCAGUUGGCGGCCAUGGUACUGAAGAAACCGAGUCUUCAAAAGAAAGGGCUGCAUGAGUUGUCAGGAGAAAUCGGAAUGGAUAUCAAGCCAGUGAGUGGAACUUGUUCAGAUCUGGGUGCCGAUAUUUUUUCAGAGGAAGAGAUCAAGUAUCUAGUUCAUGAUGUCUAUGCUUCAUAUCUUAUCGGUGACAAGCUAUUGGGAAUGCUUUAAUUUAAUCUAAGAACUUAGCACUUGCUUUGUUAGCAAGUCCCUUUUAACAUGUACACUGCUCACUUCCAAUAAAAACACAAUCUUUUGAUAAGAUUUUGAGAACAAAAUUUAUUAAAAACCAAUUUUAUGAGUUGUGUUGCAGAUAUAGUCCAUUGUUAAUUGCCGGGAACUGGCCGGCCGGAACCCAAGUGAAGAUGCAUUUAAAAGUUACUGCACCUAGUAAGAAACGAUUCAUCAUGUUUAUGCUUCCCUAAAUUAAUCUAUUGGACAUCCUUUUAUGUACUUACAAUAUUAGAGUUUUCCCAAAUUGAAACUUUUGAUUGAGGCUAAAAAUUAGUAAGAGGACUAAGACCAAGUUUUAGCAACAAGGCUAUGAUGCAAAUCAAAACCUGAUCUUAAUAAGGGUUUAAGGUUAGGUAUAGCAAAGUAGGAUUAGAUAUAUAUAGAUCUUUAGAAUUUAGAAACGUAAUUGCCAAAUAUUACCCAGGCUCAUUUCCUAAACAAAGAAAUCAUAAAGCAUGUGGUCAGAAUUCAACUAUCAAAAUAGGAAGAUCCAGUAAACCCUAAAUGCAGCAUCCGCCUAAAUUGGCAGCGGAAUUCAAGCUUCAAAACUGGGACCAAAACUCAUAUAAAUGAUUAAUCUCUCUCAUACGAAAUUCGAACAAAACAUUGAGAGACAAGCGGCUGAGACAAAGAUCAUGGCAUUUCCAAGCACAAAGUCCUUGGUCUUUUGUCUAGUCAUUCUUGUUAGCAUGGCGAUGCUAAGCCAUGGAUUUACAACCAAGCGAUUUGACGUUGUCAAUCCUGCAAUUGAUCCAUGCAAACUUCCUAAUGGAUUACCACGCCCGGGUUGUACUAACAAUGAUCCUGAGCAUCAUCCAGAGACACCGGCUUCACCCUACAAGCGUGGAUGCUCAUUCAUUCAUCGUUGCAUUGGUGGUCAUGAUCAAAAACAAUGAAGCAGAGACUUUGUGCUGGAAAGGAAGAGGCGACAUAGGGUAUUGCAUGUAGCUAGUAGUGCUUAUAUAUCAAUGUUAUUCAGAAAGCUACUGUUGGUACCCUACGUGAGAUUAUCGCAUCCUCCCAAUGACUGUUUCCAUAUUUUUUGUUUUUUGUACGACAGCAUAUAUAUGAACAUCUUUUUUAUGAAGUUGAAAUUCAUGUGACUUCGAUCGAUCAUGAUAUUGUUUUAUGUCAAUUACUUGAAAUUAUAUUUAAUUAUUCAGUUUUUUCGAUACAUUGUAUUAUAAGCGUGGAUAACGAGUCUCAAAUCUCUAAUACGAUGAUAUUCUUCAACUUUAAGAUCAUUUGUAGCAAUGCUAGCCAUUUUUAAGUUAAAUUUUAGUCAAAUUAGUUAAAAUGUUAUUUUGGCUAGCCACUUUAAAAAUGUGGCUGCAUCAAUCAUCAAUGCUCUCUAUUUUAGCUAGCAUUACAUCAACAUUAUUUUUCAAAUAAAGAUUAAAAAGUUUAAAUAUAUUUAUAUAUCACGUAAAAUAUCUUACAAGAAAUGUAUUAAAUUAUCAGCUAGCCUCAUCUGAGUCAUCUCGCUCUCUAUAUUUAGCUAGCGAAAUAGCUAAAAGUCAUAAUAGCUAAACUUUGGCUAGUCUGCUGGAGCUUUGAAAAUAUCAAAAAAAAAUUAAAUACGCUAUCUAAAAUAGCUAAAAAUAGAGUUUGCUAAAGUUACUCUAACCACUCAAAUGGAGAAAUGAGCUAAUAUGCGAUUUUGUCACAAUGGGCUUGACAACGAUCCAUUACACUUCUCUCUCUCUCUAUUAUUGAUAUAUUGGAUGCAGUUCAUGUUUUAGUUCAUUUUGUUAGAAAUGUAUCCCUUAAUUUCCAGAUUUUUGUGGUUGUUGAGCUAAUCUGUAAUGAAGGUGUUA